UUUUUUUUUUUUUUUUUAAAAGGUUAAUUGAGGGACAUCUUCCUUCAAGACUCAAAACUAAUGGGUUAAAUUAAGAAUUUUAAAAGAAACAGUCAAUUGAGCGACUCCUUUCUUUAAGACUUAAAAUUAGUGGGAAAUUUUCAAAAAUUUUCAUCUUCUUCCCCGAUCCACUAUACCUGCAUCACCUUCUUCCUUCUAUCCCCCUCCACUAUUACUACCUGCCACUCUCUUCUCUUUCCUCUUCCUCCUCCCCUGCCCUACCCUAUUCUCUCUUUCUUCUCUUUCCCAAUUCCCGGCCCUUCCUCUCUCUCCCCCACUCCAUCAUGAAUGAUUUAUUGAAAGGUUGGAGAAUGGGGAAGUUCCAAAAAAAAAAAAAAGAAACCUUGUGCUCAACUUCAACAGAAAAUAAAAAAUGAGUGCAAUUUGUUCUCUGCAUAAAGCACAAAUUUAAGUUCUCUAUCUUGUUCUUCUAUAAUUAAGGAUAUGGAGUGUUGAUUCUCGAUCUUUGCAUUAGUUGCAUGAAAAAGCUUCAAAUAGGAGUACAAGAGAUUGAUAACAUCCAUGCAGUAUCCCAAUCAGAUAAUUUGUAUAAGGUGUAAUUUAACUUUUCAAGUUCAACAUAAGGAAGUCAAAAUUAUCUCUGGAACUAAAACCUUGUCAAAAGAUCUAUAAGGUUGAUGUUUCUCAUGUGACAUGAAAUUUCACCUAGCACCCCUUUCAUGAUCUGGACAAGCUUUUCUAGACAUUGUUUAUGAGAGUACCAUAGAUCCGUAACUCACUCAGAGACUGUGUGUCUAGUGAACUAAAAGAAGGAGCCCUCUCGUUCUUGUGACCAGAUUUGGUCACCGAGGAGGAGUGGGAGAGAAAGGGAGGUCCCGGAAGUGGGAUGAGGGAGAGAGGAAGAAGGGUAUAAGAUGAGAGAGGAAGAAACUGAGGAAGAGGAGAAAGAGAAGAGAGAGUAGGGAGGGAAAGAAGAUGUGAUGAUAGUGGCUGGUGGCUAGGAAGGAAGAGAGAGGUGGUGGCACUAAUGGUAGUGAAGGAAGAGGGAGAUGGGGGCGUGGUGACAGUGGAGGAAGAAGAAGAGAAGACAAAAAAAAAAAAAGGAAAUUAAGGAAAGGAAAAUUAAAAAAAAAAAUAUAUGACGUGUUACUAAUAAUAUAGCAGGUCAAAAAUUACCUUUCCAUUUUAGCUAAAAGUAUAAGAUGGUUAUAUGAGGGUUUUUAAAUAAUAAUGAAAUUUUGUGUCUUUUGGUGAUAUCACAAGAGUGUACAUGUAUUUUACCCUAUUAUUAAAUAAUCCCCUCUCAGCCUAGCUAACAUGGUUUCCAUGACAAAGAAAUAUAUACAAGAAAAAGCAUCUACUGCCAUGCUGACUCGACAAAGACAACGCUUCAUAGUUUAAAAAUAUUUCAAAAUGCUAUCGGGCACAAUCAGCAUGACAGCGCUUUAAGUUAUAAAUAAAUAAAUAUAUAUAUAUAUAUAUAUAUAUAUAUAUAUAUAUAACUUGCGAUGCACAAUCAGCACGGUGGGCAUAUAUUUAAAACAUGACUUUGUCGAUUCAGCAUUUGUUAUUAUUAUUAUUAUUAUUUUAGUAAGCUUGCCAAAGAAAUUUGGUUUAAGAGCAAUUUCGCUUUGCUUCCCUAUUUUGUACUCAACUCUCACUUUGACCCUGAACUUAAAUUUUAUAUACAUUAUACCCUAAAUCUCAUAUGCAUCUCAUUUGAAUCUAUCUCAUUUAAGAGCCCAUCUGAUAAAACUGAAGUUUAAAAUCUAAAUUCUUAAUUUUAAAAAUUAAGUACUGAAAGUAUUAAAUUGCCAAAUGAUUUAAAUUAUAUCUGUUGAUAACUAAUUGGAUUAUAAUGCUGAAUUGAAAUAUUGUACAAAUUUUGUGUUUCUAUGUUUUAAAUUGUCUUUAUUUGUAUAUUUGGAGAAAAAAUGUGUGUGUGUGAGAGAGAGAGAAAGAAAAUAAUGAAACAAUUUAGAAGUGGUGUUUAAGUGUGUGUGUGUGUGUAUUUGUAUGAAAGAGAGCGUGGGUGGAUGCGUGUGUGUCUAUGUGUGUGUCGAGUAUAAAGAAAAUAAACUUAUAUCAUGUGCCAAAACAAAUGAGAGUGUCUUAUGUAUGUGAGGGGUAUAGUAUGUGUAGUAAAUUCAUAAGGUUCAGUAAAAAAAUUUAUUUAAAAUUUUGUAUUAAAAUUUUAUGCACAAAUUAAGCAAUGGUUAAUACAAUAAGUGGAAAGGCAUUCUGUUAUGAAACAUGCUAAAUUCAAAAAACUCUGAAUGGAUUAAUUUCAGCAUUAAAUAGAAUUAUCAAACAAACUCUAAGUCUAAUAUUUAAAACUGCCAAAUAAAAUUGACCAAUGAUAAUAGUGUAAAAUAAUUUAAAAAAUGCCAAUUCAAAAUCAUACUUGCUGCCUUUUGAAGCUAUCCAUAUAUUUUAUUAAGGAUUAGAUCGGAAGGAAUUCCAGGUUUCCAUUAGACUAGUAGAGUUCGUAAAUCCAUUUCUUUCUUCUCCUUUGUCUACUCCAAAGAACAAAAAAUACUCCAAUUCAUCCACCCCAAGCCCAUAUUCUAAAUUUUUCUUCAUUGGAAUGGUGCUACAAAAAUGAAGUUUUCCGUAUGUUCUAGACAAAAUUCUCAGAUCUACUUCAUUAAUUUUCAAAAUAAAAUUUUAAUAUCCAUAUUACAUAAACAGCCUCAAAAAUUAAGAAAGUGACAUUAAAAUUCGGAAAAAUAGCAUAAUCAAUAAAUUUCAUUGGAACGAUAUUAUCAAAAAGAACAUCUACAUCUUUUGUUUUUCCCUUGGGAUUUGAUGUAUCAAGUGUUCUAAAGCAUUAUGUCCCCAUUUGGAUAGUAGAUUAUUUACCCAAUUUUAUUUACUAGCAUCAUCAACACAUUUUUAAUCACUUUUUUGGAUGUUUACUGCUUUACAAUUUUAAGAUUUUUACUGGUUUACACAAAUAUUGUGGUACAACUCAAGGGACUCACCUUGACAAAAUAGAAAACCUAGAAGGACUCGACUGCAAAGUAACAUUUCUCUAUUCACCAAACCGACAUCCAUGAGCUCCGAUUCUCUAAUUAGGGCACAAUUAGACAGACCCCCAUUAUAUAAAAGAAAAGAAGAGGCAGAAAAAAAAAUAAACAUAAAAAAAAUCGGAGAAAUUUUCCGAAGAAGAAUCAAGAAUGUCGACCAGGGUGGCUCUGAAGGCGAAAGGCGGCAAGUCCAAUCGGAACAAAGCCUCGGCGGCUGCAGCUGGAGAGGAAGACGGGCCGUCGACUGUGAAGAUUGUGAAAGACUGGACCAAUUGGGGUCUCCACAAAGCAAAAGUCGUCGCGCACUAUGGAUUCAUCCCUUUGAUCAUUGUAAUCGGGAUGAACUCGGAGCCAAAGCCCUCUUGGGCUCAACUCUUAACUCCCGUGUGAGAAAACUGGAGAAUAGCUUAUCAGGGCCACGACCCAUGUUCUUGAGAUGAAGUAGAAAAAAAUGGGUUUUAUUUAAUUUGAUGCUUACUGGGUCGGUUAUAGUAUUUGUCGAUUUCACAACUGGUGUCUAGUUUUCGUGAUUUUGGAAUGUGGGGGCUUUUUUUUUUUUAGUGUAAUGGGAUUGUGCUAUUUUUAGCUCAAUUAUGAACUAUCGCUGUGUUCUUGGGAUUUCUUAACACUAUUAUGAUGUGAGUUUAGAGCCUUUUGCUUCUUCGGUGAGUAUGUGUUUUCAUCGAUCAGUCUUUGUUUCAUUUUUUUUUUAUUUUUUGGUUUUUUUGACUUCUUAUUAUUGUUUAAAGUUGGUAUUGUGGAAAAUCCGUUUUCCCCUGUUGAAAGUCGGAGUUUUGAGUUGGAAGAUUGAAAGUUGAUGAGUAGUUGGAAUUUCCUUGGCUUUAUUUGUAUGUGUUUUGGGGAAUGGUGGUUGACUUGUCUGGUGAAAUAUUAUCAUUGAAACUUAAGAAGCCGAACUUAGUUAGAGUAUUGCUAUUAACGGCCAUUUGGUUGAGCAAAUGUGUGGGGUUGGAUUAAGAAUAUGAAUAGGUCCAUACUUACUGGGCAUUAGUUGUACCUGUUCCUCUAGGAUAUAAUUGUUUAUUUGCUUUUGUUGAUGGUGAUUUUUGAUAUAUUAAAUUGGGCAAUUGUUGAUUUGAGGAAUAUGGGAAGAUUGCGCAGUCAAGCUUGAGUUUGUGUUUCUGUCCUUUUUGGUACGGUUCCUUCUAGAUGCAUAGUUGGUUAUGCUUUUACCAUGUACUGAUAUUGUUGCGAGUUGGACUGGUAUGGUUCCAAGCUCUGUGCUCAUGCUUGUGAGAGAGCUAACUUUUCUUCUCAUGCAUGGCCUGGUAUGGGUUUACUAACGUGUUGCAGCAUAUAUCUUGGAAUUACCUUGUUUUAGGAAGGAAAUUUUGUUUUUCAACUAGCAUGGUGUCUUAUUUUAAGUAGUGCGUCAUCAGUUGCAUUUCUUUUCUUAGUUGCAGUAGUAUACUCUUGCAGUUGGCCCCCCCGGGGCGCGGCCCGCAGUGGGUUAUAGCUGUUAGUUCUCCUAUUUUUCAUUGAUUUUCCUACUGCAGCCUUAUAUAACCUUUCUUUAUGCGCUGCGACAUUUUGGUAAUCAUGGAUUUGUUAUCACUACAGAAAUAAAUAAAAGCUUCCCUUUCAGUUGAACUUGAUGGUUUUAAGCUUAUGAUGCUAGUUUUUGCCUCUUAAACUUGGGUGCAAGUUCUAAAACUGUUUUAAUUUUUUCCACCAGACAAAUCAAGUUUUAGCACUGCCUGCUGUUCUCCCAUGACUUUCUUUAAUGGUAGACUCUCUUUAAACAUUCAUCAUCUGGCUAUGGAAACUUUAACUUCUGUGCUUCUUUCUGCUUCUCAAGGGUAGUUCAGGUCAUCUUUGGCAUUGUGUAAUCUUAUCAUUCUUCUUAGCUUUGCGAUAUAUGUGUUAAAAUGGCAUUUCAUCUGAGAGUUCCACUGAGCAUAAAUUGAUUGAACAUAUCCCUUCGCUGUUCUUGUUAACAUUUCUGUCCUUUUGACCUUCUUCUACUUCACUCUUUUAUCUAUCACACUAGAGUUUUUUUGGACUAUAGAACUCCUUUAAUCUCCAUGAUAGAUUCAGGCAUUUCUGCUGUUAUAAUGGUCUAACCUUUUUGAAUACGUGCACUCUGUAGCUGAAUGAGGGGGCCAGUGAUAUGAGCUUAAGGAAGGUAACUGGUUAUAGAGGGAGUCAAUAGAAACCUUAGUGUAUGUGUACAGUCUAAAUUGAUAAAAUAUUGUGAAAGGGCCUGUAGAGCAGUUAAACUUUUUAUGUAAUCUUGUACUGUAUAUUCUUUAGGAUACUUGUAUCUAGAAGCAUUGAUUCACAGGGCAAGAUUUAAUUUAGAACAAUGACAUGUAUAGUUACUCUCAAAAAGGGACUUCUGUACAACUUCACUCAUUUUUCUUGAAGUACCCUAUUUUCUCUUUCCUCUUUCCCUUCUCACUCAGUCUCUUUCCCUCCAUCACACAUCUCGUCAGACCUAUAACCCCUCCUUCUGCCACCACCUACUAGCCUGAAUUAUUCUCGGCCUAGUUAUCUUUCUUCCUGGGAUAUAUACAUUCAUUCAUCCCUUUUUAUCUCUCCCAGUUCUGCAACAACAUCCGUGGUGAUCGGUUGCAUAUUAGGUGGAAAUGGGCUGGCAUCGGCUUUGUGGUUAAUGGGUGUAGAUUGGUGUGACGGUAUAUGUGGUGGUUGGUUGUGGACUUGUAUGUAGAUGGUAUGGUAUCAGCCAUCCAUGGUGGAUUAGUCUGAUGGUUUCGGUGGUGGGCAGUUGCGAAUUGGUCGGGUUAUGGUGAAGGUUUCGUUGUUGUGGGUAAUGGGGGUGUAUUCGUAUGGUGUUUGAGGUGGUGGUUGACUGCAGUCGUAAGUUGCAUAGGAUAUGAGGAGGGAGGGGAAGGGGUCAAAGUGGGACUAGGAAAAGAAUGGAGAAACAUUAGGAGUUGCCAUGUAGGUGGCAUUUGCAUCUUACGUUUUAAAGUUAGUAAUCCUAUAUUGUUUCAUUUAUAAGCAAUUAAGUUUUGGUAUAUGCUACUGUGAAUACAUCUGCUGGAAGCACUUUGUAUUGGGUUUUCUCCAUCAUUUGACCAUGUUUGUUUUGAACAUCCCCUUCCCGUGGGGGUUGAGUUGGUUAUUCCUUGUGAGCUACACCAAAGCUAUAUGGAGAGGGUGCUUAAGCAAGUUGACAUUGGUUUCAUGAUUAUAUUGGCAAAGUUACUGCUUGAUCCUCCUGGCCCAUAUCGAGUUACCUUUAAAUUUCAAGUAACAUUAAGUUUACGUUAAGCCCAGAAGUUCUUUUCAAGUCUCUAUUUCUGGUAAUUUCAUACGUCUGAUAUAACUUGGCUAUUGGCAGAGAAUCACUAUAGAUUCACAAUUUACAGGACCUAGCAGUAUUCCCUUCCUUUUUUUUUUUUGGCUUAUUGUUUUGUGUUCGAUGUAUCUUUUUGUUGUGAAUGUUCGUGUAUGUUCUCUUUUUUGUUGCAUUUGUGUCAUCGAAUCUCACUUUGAAAUGGGUAUGGCUCACCCAGGUGUAGCUUUGGGAAAACUGAUCUGGUAUAUUCAAAAGUAAUUCAGUUUACUCUACAUUUAAAUUUCUUUUACCUGAAGUUUUGUUUUAGAGUUAAUUAGACUAUGCACGCUGCACUUUGGAUGCUGCUCUGUUGUACGUACAAGGCUUCUACUCUUGUGCUUAGCUUCUAUUGAUCUCUGCCUUCAAUAUUUGACUGUAGAAGGCGUCUGCGCUUUGUGCUUUUCUUCUCGAGCUACCGGGCUGUGCUUAAUUUAUUUGCUGCCUCUUCUCUGCAUUGUCUCAUUUCGGCAAGUCUUUUUUUUUUUUUUUGUCCAAAAAAAAAGGGCCUGAUCCCACUUCACCCCCAACCAUUAUUUGGGUUGUUGGGUUAUUCCCCAUUUUUAUUCCCCAUUUCGGCAAGUCUUUUGCUUUAUCUCUUUUGUUGAUGUGUUUCAAAUAAGAUAGUGUAGCAAUUACCACACAAUGUAACAAUGCUCUUGAGACGCGAAAUGUCUGUGGAAAAGGGGGUUUAGGCGUUUAGCUCGAGAUUAGUACCUAAAAAGAUGCGUCUGAUGAGCUUGUAACCAUUGGUUUGGCAAGGACAUUGUGAUAUUGGAGCCUUCAACACUUUUAUUAAAGAAGGGUUAUUAUCACUUUAUUUCUUUAAUUUAUAUCAUUACAACCAGUUUACUUACUAACGUUGUCUUUUAGUUACUUCACCUCCAUAGAUAAUUUAACUCAACAUGUUAAGAAAUUUUGGACAAAAUAAUCCUUUUAUUCUAUAGCAUUAUUACAUUGUUAUUAUCACUUUAUCCCUUUAAAUUAUAGUAAUACAAUCGAUUUAAUCGCAUUUUACCUUAUUGUUAAUCUAGUCAGUAUGGUAAAAAAAAUUUAAAUGCAUUUACCCCUUUUAUAUAUAAUUAAAAGUAAAAAAUUGGAAUGGUUAUUCUUCCUUUCGUUUUCACUUUAAGAGAUCCAAAAAACAUAAAAAUAAAGAAUUUUCUCAUAUUUCUUUGUUCACACUUAUUAAUAUUAGGAAAAGAAAAAGAGAUAGGAGAGAAGGAGAUGAAAAAUUAGAUUUUACGAAGAAAGAAAAUAAAGAAGAGUCUAAAAUUAUCGUAUUAUUUUAAGGUUGUUGGGAUUAAAUUUGAAAUUGGGUGAUAAACAGAAAAGUGAAAUAAUUUUAAAAUAAUAAAAAUAUUAAAUUUUUUCUUAUUUGUAUUUUUUAAAAAAAUAAUUGAGCGCUCUCUCUCCCACCCCCCUCCCUCCCAAUCUUUCUAUUUUUUUUUAAAAUAUUAAUAAGAUUGCCAAGAUAAAAGAAAUUACUACUUUGACUUUUUUUCUUGAAACUAAAAAGGAAAAGAGUCAUUCUAAAUUUUUUAUUGUUUUCAUUAUACAAAAAGGAGAAUACUUUCUUUUAAAGUUUUUUAACUUGUUAAGUUGGUUUAAUGAUGGGAUAAAUUGCCUAAAAAUAACUCUACGAGGUAACUUAAUAAUAAAACUAUAGUUUAUGAGGGUAAAGUGAUAAUAAUUAUAAGAGCUAAAUAUGUCUUUUCACUUUAAUUAACAAAUUUCGUUAAGUUUGACCGUUAGUUUUGGAGGUAAAUUGAUUAAAAGGUAAUGUUAAGGGGGAAAUUGAUAGUGAUAUCAAAUGUUAAGAGGAUAAAGUGAUCGCCUACUAUUAUAUUUAAUAGUAGCUUUUCUUUAUCCUUUGCUCCAUAAAUCCAUUGCAUUUUUUUAUAUAUAUAAAUAGAGGAUUAGUUUUGAUUAAGCCCACCCAAACAUAUAGUGAUUAAUCUUGCUGGAAAUUAAUUUCUACAAUUUGUCAACAAAAUAAUAACCAUUUAUUGUUUGGAUUGUAGUUUUCUAAGGAAAUUUUUUUUAUAUUUUUCGUAAGCACAGUUAUCAAUUGCUUUUAUAUCUCAUAUACAUUAGAGUGCUACAAUAAUUUUUGCUACAAUAUCUCAUUUGUCUCAAUAUACAUUAGAGGUUACAUUUUUUUUUUUUGAUUUGCAUGUUUUUUGUUUUUAUUAGUGGAGCAAACAAAAUUACAAAGAGGAAGGCAAUAACCUUACCUCCUAGAGUACAUGGUCAGAUCUCACAGCUAAAAAGAUCAGAUUACCACCUAACUCAAAAAACGCAAGUUAGGGUACCCUAAUCUAUCCAAAGUGAGGUCUCUGCGCACCAACCUUGGCAGUUGCAAAACCGACUCAUAGACAAUAUUAGAAGCCAACUCCGUCCCAAUCUUAGAUAGCCUAUCGGCAGGAACAUUCGCUUGACGGUAACAAUGAGUGACGGAAUGGAAACAAUGUCGAAAAACCAUCCACUCGUCCAACUCUGUUUGAAAACCCCAUGGACAUCUACCAACCCCCUUAACCAUUUGAACCAAGAGCAAAGAAUCCGAUUCCAAGUGCAGGCAACUGAAACCUCGCAAAACACACAACUGAACUCCAAAUAACAUAGCCUUCAACUCUGAACGUAGGCUAGACGUCUCUCCCCAAUAACCCACAAAACCUAAUAGGAAUGUACCUGCACUAUCCCUCAACACCCCCCUUCUCGACUCCUUCCCGGAUUACCCUUAGAGGUUACAUUUAAUCUAAUUUAUAUCUCAAUAUACAUUAGAGAGUUCAUCUAAUCUUUUCUCAACCCUAUCAAAACGAUCAGAGGUUAUAUUUGCUAAUUUUUCUAUAGUUAAUUUCCAAGAUGAUUUAGAUUCAUAUUGGACACACUUGGAUUGGUAAUCAUAUAAACAUAGAGAAGCAUUAUAUGCACAUUGAUUAUCCCAACCAUUAGUAUAAGAAUUGCCCGAAUUGAGAUCAUUUUAAUCAAAACAAGGAUUGCAGUGCCCAAAUUCAUCAUAAUAAUCCACAUUUUGUACUUGCAUACAUGUACAAGUAACAUGAUAACCUCCACACAAGUCACAAAUCACAUGAUAAGAAUUAAAAGUAUUAACAUUGCUCUUUUGCUCAAGAAUAUGUGUAAUGGUGUCCAAUUGAACUUUUAACGUUAUAUAAUCAAAUUUAGCCUUUACACUCCUUAAACUGUUUUCAAAAGACAUACCUUCAGACACAUCUUGGUUACAUCUAUUCAAGGAGCUUUGCAUUGGAUAACAAUCCAUUGCCGAUCUUCUAUUUUUCAAGCAUUGUCCCCUUAUAUUUUCUACUCUCCUUGAAUCUCUAAACAUGUCUUCAAAGUAAUUCAAAAAGAAAUUUAGUCAAGAAGAAUAGGUGACUCGACACAUACAAAAAAAAAGACAUUAAACACAAAAUAAACAACCCAUCAAGACACUAAAUAUAACAAAAAGACAUUAAACAUAACCAAAACAACAAAAGCAAGUAAAAUAAUCUAAAUUAAUAAAGCAGUUCUUAGCACUAAUAUUGACAAAAUCUUUCCCGACAACGGCUCCAAAAACUUGAUGAACGUUGGGUAUACAUAUAAUAAUUAGCUCAUCCAUAGUCAAGUUUUAUAUUUAUAAAAUUCUAAAUACCCUACACGCGAUUUUUUGCAAGUACACGAGUCGUAAUUGAGUAUAGGGUAUUAAGGGUCAAACCCACAGAGAAGAUUGUCAAUUACUGAUGUUUUUCAAAUUUCUUUAUUAUUUAACCUAUCACAAAUGUAAAAGAUUAAAUCUAUGCUAUAAACAUGGAAUAAAAGGAAUAAAAAUAACAAUAGAAAACUCCUAAAGUAUGGAAUUUCUUACUACUUUUGUAAAUGAAGUUUCCAGUUAAUUGAAUGUUUGGUUAGUUAUGACAUAAUUUCCUAAUGUAUGUGAAUUCUACUUUCAUAGUGAAUCAACUAUAAUUGUAACUAAACCAUACCUACUCUCGUGGUUAUGUAAUUAACAACAAGUUCAUUCCUUCUAUGAAAUUACAUGAAACAAGUCACUAAAACCAUAUAGGUGCACGUCUACUCUCAUGAGUAUACUCCUUAGAUUUAUUACUUUCUUGAACUAGUGUUAAAUCUCAAUUCUCAUUACAAACUUAACAUCUUAAGAUUAUCACAAUUAAUGGUCGAUUAAUCAUGAUUAGAAAAGCAAAAAUGAUAAAUAAAUUGUUCAAAAUAAUAUCAUCAAAUAACUAAGUAAAUAUCACUAAUAAGAUAUAGCUAUUUCAUCCAUAACUUUAGACAUAAACUUUAGCUAAACAUGAAAACAAACGCCAAACUUGUAUUAUAGUUAAAUAUGAAUUCAAAUACAAAAAAAAAAGAAGUGAUAGGAGAGAAGUCACCAUUGUCACUUGAGUUUCAACCUCUCCAUCUUUACUCGUCAAAUCUUCAUUCAAAUCUAGCUACAAAUACAAGAAUGAUAAACUACACUAACUAUAUUAAUCUACUCUAACUAAUGAACUAAGGAAAUUAUAGUGAAAACUACAUUUUUGUGAAGUUUCUCUAGCCUUCCAAAGUUGUGAAAAUGGUCUCCUUGGCCUCUUUUUAUAGAUAGAUUCAAACUCAAGAUGAGUUGUUUCUAGUUGGCAAAAUUGUUUCUUGAAACUCUCAAAGGUUGCUUCUCAAAGUUUCCAUGCUCAUAUGCUCAUUUCUAGCCGAAAUCUUUUCAAAAAAGCUGGUCAAAAAAGUUGUGUGAAUAAAGCACAAGUUUCAGAGUAAGUUGCAACCACAAAACACAAAUAUGCCACCUUGAAAACAUGACCUAAGGCCAUGUAUCGUGCCCACAUUUUGCUCUUUUGCAGGUUUGCUCAUUCUGGGUAGAUUUCAUCAUUGCUUUAUGUUUUGUUCAAAUUCAACUGAUAGUUUCUUGAUAAUAGAGGCUAAACUAACUCUUGUACGAAACAUGAAAGUUCUAAUCCUUUGAGUUAGCUUUUCAAUGUAUGAAGAAUCAUCCAAUUUGAAGCUCUAUAGAUCAAGAACUGACCAAGAUACCCUCAACUUGUCAUAACUCUAUUUCAACUUUCGAUAACAAAGUUUCACUUUUGUAUUUUGACAUUUUGACAAGAAAAACGACUGAACUGGAUUUCGAUGUCUCAUACCAAAUGUAGAUCUAUCUCUUAGUUUCAAAAUGGUAUAAGAAUCACCUCAAUCCAAUGUUUGUAACUCAAAAUAUAGCUGAAAUAUCACAAGGCAUCAUAGAUGUCAAACUUCCUUCUUGUAUACUAAGUUGCAUUUCAUCUUUUGCACUUCAUAUUCUCUUUUUAUCACUUCAAACCAUCAUCAAUCAUCCAAUUAUCUUCUGAAUUCAUGCUAUUUGAUGAUUGAAUCAUUAAACCUACAAAACAUGAAGUUUUCGCCAUUAAAAUCCAUAAAAAUGUAAUGUUUACCACUUAAAUCAUAAAAUGCAUAUUUUCACUGGAAACUUAGUUCAUAAGUUAUAAAACUAAUUAAAACACACCAAACUAAUUAAUAAAACACACUUAAAAUACUCAAAAUACACACUUAUCACAUAUCAAAGGUUGUAGUUGUUAUAAUAGAAUGCAUAAAUAAGUAGCAAUAUAUCAAAGACUUUACAAUAUCACAACCUUAACAACCAACAAAAGUGAUACUCCUACUAUGAAGUUCUUCAAGUCUUCCAAGUCCUUCAUGGAUGCUGCGCCCAGGGUUUAUCCGGAGGAGGCCGCUGAUUUCAUGGCUUGUACGCUGAGAUGGGACAUGGGUAGAAGAGGAUCAUCAAAAGCUCUGUACAAGUUAGGCAAAGUGGUCGGCUCAACCCAAGGGAUACGACACUUCCAGAUGCAUGAAGAUGGAAUAAUUGAACUAUCGGGCUGCGUGAAUGCAAACAUGCUAAUGUACAAGCUAGGAAAGUUGGAGAAAUAUGUGGAGAUGCUGUGGUGGCAGCACGGACAAUGCUCCAGCUAUUUGGACGGACCAGACUGCCGGUAUUUCACCAGAGCACAACCUUACCCUGGAUAUGGUGGUGCCCCUAGUUAUGAUCGAGGAUACAUUGCCAGUUAUUAAGGCAUCAGCCGUUUGCAGUAGAAUGCAGGAUUCCCCUCUAUAAUCGAGUCUUUUAGUUUAUGGAGUUAUUAUGCCCAUUUGGCUUUAGGUUUUUUCGAGUCUUUUUCAAGUGUCUCUCGUUAUUGAAGUAGGAUUUGCUUGUUGACAUUGCUGAUGUUUUUCUCAGUCCUCGUGAACAUUAUUAUUAUUAUUAUUAUUAUUAUGUUGGAAAUAAAGUACUAUCAGUUUUAAGUAAAAAAAAAAAUCAAAGACUCUUACUAUUUGGAUACAUACAACCUAAGUAAGUAGAAUGCAUGAAUACAACCUAUUGUUGUGGUUCACUACUUAUGUUAAUAGUAAUAACAUAUCAUCGAUUGCAGUUGUUGUAAUAGACAAGUAAACAAAUCAGCAGCAUAUUAAAAUUGUAGUGGUUGUAAUAUACAUAUAUUAAUUGUUAUGAUAAGUAAAAGAUUGUAGUUAUUAAAAUAUAAAUUUCAAAUUUAAAAGUUUGAUAAUAUGUUCAUUUAAGUAUUAUGACAUUAGGAGUCUUUUCUUAUAAAAUAUAAAUAUAAUUAAUUAGAUUUACUACUGUACAGUAGCAAGUUAUUGGGAAUUAAUCACUUGAAGGAUAACAAAUCAAUAUUCUCUCAGUUUUGGAAACAACAAUGUUAGCCAACAAAGAAGAUUAACAUAUUCUUCAUUACUAAUAAAAUCAAUGAUUAAUCUAUUAGACAUUUUGAAAAAGAAGUAUAGUAAGCAUAGACAUGCAUCUAGUGUGCAAAGAAUAUUUGCCAUUCCUAACUCAAAAGGAAUUUUGAACAUCAUCUAUUUAUAUUUAGCACUUCAGUUUCUAGGUAAAAUCACUUUUUCACUUAAAAUUUUUCAAAAAUCUCACUAUUACAUCCCCGUUUGGAAGUUAAAUGUCAUGCAUUUAGAUUUAAUAGAGUAAAUGAAUUAUUACAUAAUAGUGUAGAAAUAAUCAAUCCUUUAUUUUUUUCAUUUAGAAAUAUAGACUACAAAAUUUGACUUGAUACAAAUUUGAUCUUCAUUUUCUAUAUGUGCUUUUACAUGAUUACUAGGAGAAUAUUUAUGAAAUUAUAGAAAUAGAAAAAGAAAAUAUAUUAAACUAUUCCACUUCCUAGUAUGUUUUCAAAUGCUUAAUUCCUUCCUCUACUCUAGUUUCAUCAUACAUCUUUCUUUUCCAUUUUUCAUGUCCACAACAAGGUUAUUCUUUCUUCUUAAUCCCUAAUCUCAUCCUUAUGGUUUCUUCCUCACUUUUCCUUGUCUCCUAUCCACCUAGCAAUGUUAUUUAUCUUAUGUUAUUCUUUAUUAUUUCCUUUUUUCAUAAACAUAAAACAAAAAAUAUAAUAAUAUAGGUACACAAAUUUAUAGAAUACUAAACUUGAAAGCUCAUUGUGCCAAAUAAUAUAAUUAUAUAAUGUAAUAGUUGCAAACACGUCAAGAUCUCAAACCAAAUUCCCAUGCUCACUCGCAGUCACACAAAUGUGGGGCACCUUCGUGUGGAUGAUUUCUUUGGAUUGAUCUGUUAUGUCUUUAAAAUUCCUUCAUAUGCGCGGAUGUUUCUUUUCCUUUAACAGAGGUCAGGUUUGGGCCUCGCUAAUUUGAUGUACUUUUUUUUGGUUAUAAAUAAAUUAAGGGAUGGCAAAAAAAAAAAUAGUUGAAUUCUUACCAUUUUGCUGUUCGGUAUUGAAAUGUCUAUUAGUCCAUUUUUAAAAAAAUGUAAUAUUUAAUUUCUAACUUUUAAUUCAGCUUGAUUAGGUUCAAAAUCAAAGUUUGUAUUACAUGUUUGAUCCAAUACCAUCAUGAUAUGUUUGAGUCAAGAUUAGCUCAAUUAUGUCAAAACUUGAAUUGAGCCAUCUACAUAUGAAAUGCACACUUGAGUUUCUUUUGCACCACAUAUUCAUUUUUUUAAUUAAAUCAGUAUAAAAAUCAUACAUUACUUAAUUUCUAUAAUUGUGAUUUCACUUGACAUUUUUUUUAUUCAUUCAUUACUGAUGUUUGCAAAAUAUGUCUUAGAUAAUUAAUGAUCUAGAUAUAUAUAUAUAUAUAUAUAUAUAUAUAUAUAUAUAUAUAUAUAUAUAUAUAUAUCCGAGAUCAAAUAAGUUAUAAUUUUGCUUUCUUUCUUAAUUAUAACAGCAUGUUGGCUCCUAUGAAUUUUUCUUUAAAUGGUAACUACAUAUUUAUAGUUUUUGUUUCUCUUCCUCCUCCUCCUCCUAGUUUAUCACUGAAAGCGUUUGAAUGAAAAAAAAAUUUUACGUGUACAAUAUCAACCAAGUCACUUGUGAGAGUUAAUAUAUAUCUUUAGAUAUGUACUUCCGUUUACUAGAAUAUUCCAUGUGAAAUUUUAUUUAAUUAUUGCUUGUCAAAGUAAUGAAAAUAUUUCUACUAAAAAGGAUUGAAAUGAGAAACUUGUAGUUCUUCCAAUUCCCAUCAAUAUUUUAGGAGAAAAAAAUCAUCUUACUCUAGAUUAAGUUUUUUUUGCAUAUGCUUAUCCCUCUUCCUGAUAUCUAAGAGUCAGGGAUUGGACUCCCUAUUAUUAUCAAACUAGUUGCAGGAUACAAUUAAUGGUUUAUACGCAUUUGAUUUGAAGUUGGAUGGAUGAGAUUGAUGGUACGGCAUAAAGUUUUAGUGUCAAAUUUUUUUGUUUUAUCCAUAUGCUUAUUUGUUAUGUUAUUGAUAGGUUGCAUUUUUGUUAUUAAAUUUAUGAUCAUUUUUCCAUUGAUUUUAGCCAAAUAUUGCAUUAAUUGGUUGAUUUUACUCAUAAUUGGUUAUUGGUGUUAAUUGUUGAAAAAUGGAGCAAAAAGUAGUUAAGGGAGGCAAUUUUACAAAAGAUUAUGAACCUGUUCCAUGUGAGUGCGCCAAAGUCCAGCUGUCAAGUUCGGAAAGCUCAGGAUUUUUCAAGCCCACGAAGCUUUCCUAGUUCGAGUUGAACUCCGAGCAAAUUUUGGUUGAAGAUUUAGGAGAUAUCUUUAUUAGUCAUAAGAUUUAGUUAGGAAACAAUGGAAAUUAUUGUUUGAAGUUUCCUUUUCCACAUAGGAGUUUACUUUAUUUUAGCAAGCUAUAAACUAGGAGAAAAAGUAGGAAUUGGGAUGGCCAGUUCCGUGUGAUUAGUACUUCCAAAAAGAUAGAGAAUUGCAUGGGGACUCUUUAUAUCAGAAGCAAGAAACAAAAGCUCUGUUUUCUUUUCCGGCUGGAAGAAAAUGACAACCUCAGUUCUUCUUUUGUCUUUUCCGUAGCCGUAUGUGUCUAUCAAUUCACCAUACUUUUGCGUUGGGAUUUUUUUUCAACGAUGAGAUAUUAAUUUCCUUCUCUAGUCGAAUGUCAACUUGAAAACGCGAUUCCAAACAUCUGUGAGAUCGAAUUGAUUUUUAUUUGUUUCUUUUGAUUCAUCGGUAUUCGUACAUUUUCUGAUUUAAUUUAUUAUGAUUGUAUCAUUGUUUGAAUGUCAAGGGUCCGAUAUUUGAAUUAACCUAAUAAUCUACUACCAUAUUAAUCGAUUAAAUUCAUAAUUAUUUGAUUGAUUAAUAUUAGUGGCGACUAGCUGAUUGAUCCCAUAUUAGGAAAACGUAUGAUCUAAGUUAAAUAAACCCUCAUAGUAUGUUUGUUGGUUAGAGUUGGAUUUUUCUAAUUUUUAAUACAAUCUGAAAAUUAAAUUCUACGGUCAUACACAAGGUUGUCUCUUGGUUAGGAAAAUAAUUAACGGUCAUACCUUGACUAUUGAUAAAGUAAGGAAAAGUUAGCUGUCAGAAUUUGUUGAUAGCUAUAACCAUUCUAUUAAUGAAUAAUGGAACUAUCUUUGCAUCGAUGAUCAGCUAUGUGGACCGUGUCUGAAAAGCUGCACCUUUGGUUAGAAACGUAUUUAUUAUUGAUUUAAUUCCUAUUUAUUUCCGUUAGUUGUUUUAUUAGUCAGUUAAUUAGUUAUUUUUUCAUUUUCCAAAACCCCCAUUUAAUUCUUGCUUUAGAAGGAAAUAAAUCAUCCCGUCCUUGAGGAGACAACCCUACUUACCGCUAUAUUUAAAUUUAAAUUUUUAGAGUAGAAAUUUUAAUUUUGGUGGUUUGACACCCAUCAAUUAUACUACAUCACGAUGAAAAUUGUUUGGUGCAAUUGACAUGGAUAAUUGCAGAAUUGUGGCGUGGCAAUGCAUGUUGUGGCCAUUAUGCAUUGCAAUGUCUAUUCAAACUACAAGUACAAAUUUUUUAGUAUAAUACUGACAGAAUAGGUACAAUAUGGAAAGUUAUAUAUAAAUCUUUAUUUAAAAGUAUGAUUAAAAAUUCAAUGGAGAGAUACGAGUUCUUCAAGAUUAUGUAUAUAAAUUCAUAUGUGAAUAGUGUGAAUGUGUUUGAAAGUUAAGGAACAAAAAAUUCAAUUAAAUUGUUAGUGAUUGUCAAAGAUUACACCACAUUGAUACCAACUUUAACUCUUUAUGCGUAUGUGAGACAUUAAAUCAAAUAAAUUUUUAUAAUCUUAUUUCAUUUAUGCAAAUAUAUAAAAUGAUAUAAAUCAUUUUUUUAUUUUGUAUAUUACUUGCUGGAUAUGCCAUUAUUUUUACACAAAUUUUAUAAACCUUUUUCAAGAUUGAAGUGUUAUUCAUGAUGUAUAGUACACCAAAAUGUAUUACUUAUUUUAUAGGAUAGCUAAAAAGUAUUAGUAUUUUUAAAAUUGAUGAAAUAUGGAGGUUUUUUUAAAUUAUAUAUACCUACUUACAUUCAUUCAGGAAUAUAAUACUAAUCUCUACUAACUAUAUGAUACAUGCAUGCAUACAUGCAUAUCUAUUUACCUUGUAUAUAUGAAGAAUUGGGGUUUAGUGUUUUGCCUUCUUUUCGCCACGUGGCUUUCUAUUGAUACAACAAGUGGUAUAUCUCUAUAUUCAAAACAACUAUAUCCUUCAUUGCUUUUGUUGGUCUUUGUUAAUGGGCCUGAUGAACUCAAAAGAUUUUAGACUAAUGAAUAAAUUUUAUUCUCCAUAUUAUAACUGUUUGGCCCUUAAAAAGGGUGGCCUUUACCGGAAAAAAAAAAAGAAAAAAGAGCGUGACCUUUAUUUAGUUCUUUAAGGCCUAAAUGGGUUAAUCUUAGCUUAAUUAACUUAUUAUCUGGUUGGGUGGAUGUGCUGUCUAUACCAUGACUCUUGGAUUAGGCUUAAUGGACUAAUAAUAGAUUUCAACCCUGAGACAAAUUUCAAUUAAACUCUAAUUAUAGUUUCUCUAUUGUUACCUACAAUAACAUUUCUUGCACAUUGCUAUUCUUUCCAUUGCACAUCAUUUUUUUUCUUUUUGCCUUUUACUCGUGUCAAAUCAAAUAAGUCAGGCCCUUAUAUUUAUGGGUGUUCAUUGGUCAAUAAUCGGGAAUUUGGUAAAAAAAAAUUGGUAAUUCAGAAAUUGAUUUUUAAAACCAAUAUCUUAUCACCGUCCAAACCUUAGUUUGAUAAAUUGGAUCAAAGAACUAAUAAUUUAGUAAUAUCCAAAAUAUCAAUAAUGAGUUAAAAUAUUUUAAUUUUCUCUGAAACAUUGUUGUCACAAAAUAAUAUCUUAUAUGUUUUUCCAAGAAAAAUUCAAUCAACUCAAACAAACAUGAUAUGCAAAAAAAAGAAGGUUCAUAAUUCUAAGUCCUAACUCAUAAUCUCAAUUCUUAAACAACAUUGAAAUAUAUAUAUAUAUAUACUAGGAUUGCUUCCCACGCAAGCGUGAGAACUUUAGACCUAUUAGUAAGAGCAAAAGUAAUAUAUGUGCUGAUACAAAAGAAAAGCAGCUAUGUACUGAUACAAAAGAUAAGAGGUACUGUAGUACUGGUGGUUCAAAAGAAAGAGAAAAGCAGUAUGGUACAACAGUAUAGCUUAUUCAAAAGAUGCAUCACAAGGUAUUGAAGCGUUGCGCUAGAGUUGUGUGCCUAUGAUUCAAAAGGAAGAGCAGAGUACUCUACUUAAUGUACAGCAGUUUUAGUCUUGCUUCUUGGAUGAUGUGACAUGUUGUUUCUUCGUCAGGUUUUCUGCAAUUUUGAGUGAAUCAAGGAGGUUGGUGUCAACUACAUCUGAUUUGGCUUUCAGUGGAACUUCAAUAGAAGCUUAAGCAGUUGCAAGUGAAAGGUCAACUAUUAGCAAUUGAGUAGAAGCUUGAACAAUUUCUUCAUGUGCCUUUGUGGUUUCAUGUGCAGGCAUUGGUUGGUUUUCAUUGAUUGGUAGCACUGUGAUGCGUUUUGGGCCAACCUUGUGGGCUAUGAUAGUAGUGCAUCUAUCAUUGUUGAACGUGGUGUAGUUUGUUGUUGCUUUCUUCAGGAAACAAGCAAUAGUAGUCUUGUUCAUUGAUUCUUUGAUAAGGUCGUAGAGCAUGGUAUUCUGUUUAAUUGAGUACACAUUGAAAAUAGAUGUUGUUUUAGUGGUUGUAGAGGAAGGAUUGUAUUGUAUAUAACUGAUUGUGUUCUUUUUGAAGUUUUGUUAUGCUGAAGGGGAGCAGCUGUUCAGCAUCUUGUCCAUAAAGGUCUAGCGUGAGAGUUCCUGAGUUGUCUACAAGCUGUAUUGUUAGCUUGCAUCUGUUAUUGAGUAAUUUGUGAGUAAUUAGUGUCUGUAGCAUUGAGCAAGUAGUGUUGGAAUUGGAGAUAUCAAACCUUGUGACAACAUUGAUGUGCUUUUGGCAAGAGGUACAGAUUAUCGGCCAAUUGGGUUGUGAUCUGAGUGAUUUGUGACAUUGGGGACAAGUAUAAUACCAGAGCUUUUGGCUUUUGUCUAAGAGUGUGGUUGUUCCUUGUACCCAGUAUGCUUUUUGUUGCAGGAAGCUCAGGAAGUCUUUGAUUGUAGUUAAAUCUUCAGCAUCAGGAAUUGGAAGUAGCUUAUCUCUAUUGAGAAACGCUAUUUGUGCUUUGAGAUUUGCGAUGAUAGCUUGGUUCUUUGCUGCCCUGUUGAUAGUGUAUGUGUGUAAUGGAUGAGAAAAGAUAAUAAUCAUGAUAAUCUAAUUAGUUACCAUUUGUUUAGCGACACAAAUUCUUCGAGGGGUGGAUUGAUGAGAAGCGUCGUCGCAAACUUGGUGGACAUGUUCAUUGCUGUUAAUUUGAUUUGUUAGCAUCACUAUUGUAAUUGUAACUAUAAUAAUUAGUUAUAUAGUGAGCAGAGCAUGAAAAGGAUUGAGAGUAAUACUGUGCUAAAAAGUGACUUUUAUUUUGAUGGCUACAAGUAUUGGCUGAGUGUGGAUUUUGUUAGCCAAUAUUUGUCCUUUCUCUGCUUCACAUAGAGUCAGCGCUACAGGCAUAGAGCUGUAUAUAGCUUGUUAGGUAAUAUAUGCAUAAUGGCACCAUUGUUAUUAUUUGUAUAGAAUGCGUAUAUAGUUAAAUCUUACUUGUGAUCAAUAAGCACAAUUUCUCUAGUUGGAACUGGAGCUUUAUUGCUUCUUGGUUCAACAUGGAUGACGAUGCCUAUCACAUCUUUUUUGAGAAUACGUGUGUAAGCAUACGUAUUAAGAAUAGUGAUUGAGCAAAAAAUGGUUGUAAUAUUUAGAAGCUUACUUAUCUCAGUGUUGUCAUCUAUAUGGCGGUGGAGCUUGUUGAAAACUGGUAAAUGCAAAGAUAGGCGGCAACGCUGGUGGCUCUGGUUCAUCUACUGCCCGGACAAUUGAUGAAUUCUCUAUUAUCCAUUUUACAUUCGUUUUCCUUGAUGUAGUAGCGUUCAUCAGUAUAUUGAAUUCUAACAUUUGAGAUGAUGUAUCUUUUUCCUGGGAUGAAUAAUCUUUUGAAAAAGUUGAUGUCCGAGCCAUAGAUCAGAGCAUUUAAGCUAUUUCCCUAUUCAUAUCAGAAGUUGAUAUCAGAAGUGGAUGUUAGUAUUUAUGUAUAAUUACUAAAAUAGUAUGUGAAUGAAUUUUUAUACCUUAAUAUCAACCAGUAUUAUCUUCUGACAUGGAUUUCUAGCUUUUGAAGUUUGUCGCUUCAGUUUUUCAGCCACUUGUAUUAUUGCAGUCCAAUUUUUUGUUUCUAGCUUAAGAUCAGUGAAAGUUAAGAAGUUGCGGUCCGUCAUUUUCCUGUAUUAUUUCGAAAGUUAUGAGCACAAAUUAUAGUAAAGAUACAAUGAGAUAUAGUAAGAAGGCAUAUCAAGAGAUGUAAUAGUCAAAUAGUUUGGUAAUCUAAGAUUAAGCAGUGGUUAUAAUAGUCAAGAGAUAUAAUAGUCAGUUGAAGUUUACAUACCUGAUUGUAACAUGGAGUGUUGCAUGCGAUGACGGAAAAGGAGAGGACAGAAGUGUGUUUUUGGAAAAAGAAGUUAAAAGUGGUAGAGUACAAUUGAAAUGACGUACUCGAGGUAAUUGAGUUGUAGUGGCAGAUAUAAAAUUGAAGUUUAGUUAAGUGAUAUUAUUUAGUUGCUGAUAUCGUUUAGUUUGUAUUGGGUGAGAAUUUAGUUGUAGUCUAAAGAGUUUAUCUGGCUGUUUAAGGAGUUUAGUUGUGUUUGAAGUGUUUUUUGUGGAUAUCUUGAAUCUGUAGUUUGUACUUUAGUGCUUAUCAACUUUCACAUAUUCCUAGAAGUUUCACAUUUUGAUUGUAUUUUCUCUUCUUUUCAUGUGGAUCAGAGAGUUAGCUUAUAUUUUUUAUAUAUUUUAUUUAUUGUGUGUGAGAGUAGUCUAGAAUGUCGUUAUAUGAUACGUGUAAGUAUUAGUAUUAUGAGGAUAAGAAUAAGGAGCUAUAGGGAGUGAAAGACAGAGUUUUAUGUGCAAUUCGUUCUAGUUUUCUGCAAAGCUUUUGUAAAUGGCACGUGCAAAUUCUAGAUUUCCAACUGUUCAGCUAUACUAUCCAGAAAUAGAGGAGGAGAUAAAUGAGUUAGCAGUUGUACGUGGGGUAGCUUAUCCUAUGGAUCAUGGAUGUCGCAAUUGACCGGCUGAACUUGUUGCAAGACAUCAAAUUGCAAAUAUUUUGCUUAAAAAUGAGCUAUGUGACUUGUUCAAAGAGUUUUAUAGGCAUAAUGACUGGAGCUUAGUUCUGGAGGCUGUUUUCAGAAGUGGAAGAAAUUAUCCAAUUCUAGAGUUGAUCGCUAGAAAAAUAAGGGUUGAGGUAUUGGAAGAGAAGUAUUACUUUCCUAGUCUGCCAUCUUCUGAUAGUUUUGGUGAUUAAAGUGAUUGAAAGGUAUUGUGUAUUUUCGAGAAGACAUUAAAAUAUAUUGGUUAUUUCUAAAUUUAUUUUGUUGAUUGUAAUUACUUAUAGUUAAAAAUUUUAAUUGGUUAGGUUGUGCUGGUCAGUUUGAGAGGAAACAAUAAUAGGAGUUAUUCAAGCCUUUUUGAGAUGCUAUUUGCUAAAUCUUUCGCACAAAAGAAAAGCGGGAGCUAUUUAAGCUGUUUUGAGAUAAAUCAGACUUAUGAGUAGCUUAUUUAGUUGGCAGUAGUGUAGCUUUCAGUUGUAUAGGUAUUGUAUUGUGAAUGGUGGAUAUCUUUGUAGUGUUUUUGUGAAUGUUCAAAUGAAUGUGUGUUGCCAUAAGAGUUAUAUGUGAGAAUGAGAUUUAUAAUCAUUGUAGUUGUAACAGAAACAGACUGAACCAGCGUAAAAUUGCCUUGGUGAAGCGGAAAAAAAUUACAUAGCGAUGGUAAAAUAAGUUAGAUAAAGAUGGAAAUUAUGAAAACAGCAAAUAUAAAAGAGGUGGAGUAUUUUAGGUAGAUAAGAAAAGGCUGAAGCAACAGCUUGACCCCUUGCUUGUCAAAACUGCUAGCAUUGAGCACUUGCUUGUUGAAGUUGGUUCUGAACAUUUUCCUUAGCUUGCUCUACAAGUUCCUGGAGUGCUUGUAAUGGUUGAUGUGUUUGUAAAAUAGUUUCAAAUGUUGAUAUCCAUGCUGGUGUGGUGUAAAAUGCUGUGAAGAAAGUUAGGAUUUCAUUUUUCAAGUGGAAAAGUUCAAGUGUUUGUAUAUUUUGUUUAGAAAUAAGAUGGUUGACAAAUUCAAGGACACUUGGAUUUGUUUGGAUGUUACUGAGCUUUGUAUUUGUUAGUAGUUGGUGGGAGAUUGUAUUGUUUGGGCUAGAGGUUGAAUGAUGAGGGUUUGUGUUGUUCAUGGUUUGGUACAAGAGAGUGUUUAUGGAGGAGCAGUUGUUGUUGCUUUAUGUUGUUUGUUAUGCGGGGAGUAAUGUUAUGUAUGUAUUUAUAGAUAGAAAUUUGAAUGUAAAAAUUAAUCAGAUAUGAUUCACGUGUGCAUAGUAUUCAUUUGUUUUUUGUGUGUUUUUUAGUUCAAAAGGUGGGGUUGAGAUGUGCAGAAGCAUUAGAUGGGAGUGUACUACAGUCUACUGUAAAAGCAUUAGAUAGAGUUGGAUAUUUUUUGAAAUGCUUUCUGCUGUCAACUCUUUGAAGAAAAUGAUGUAUAAGGCUUUUAAAGGUUAGAGGUCCAGUAGACAGCAACUACCUUCAAAUGAUUGUAGAAGUUACCUGUAAUCAAUCAUGCCUGUGCAUAUUUUGUUUAGUAAUAGCAGAUUCAAACUGAAUGCACAUGUGUGUGUUCAUGUGUAUCUAUUUAUUACAAAAUUUUUUUGUCAAUUUAGAGAUAAAGAGGUUUAAUCAACCACUAAGCUAGUUAAAUUGAAUUAGAUACCGUUAGUUUUUUGUUGGUUCAUAGAAGAUAUGGAUGUAGCAGCUUUCCUUCCUUUCCUUUCUUGAUAAGCUUUCCUCGGCUUAGUUCAACGAGCUUCUUUUUCUUUCACUGAUAAGAAAUCAUAUUUUUCUCUUAAUCUCUUUGAUUGUGAACAAUCCUCUUAUCCAUUGAAUAUGCAAGCGCAUAAGUUGAAACCAUUACACAGCGAAUAUGCAAAGCUAACACCAAGCAUAACAGUAAUAGUAAAUAUGGUUUACAGUUUGUAGCAAGAGUAAACGUAGAAAAUAAAGAUUUAGCAUAAAGGAACCAGAACCUAGAUACAAAGUUUUGCAAAGCAAUUACAAAGGCAGCAGGAUAGAGUGAAGAGUUGUGGAUAGUUUAUGCAGCAAAAAAAAUAAUCAAUUGGUGACUCUAUUAGUUCAUGCAGAAAAGAAGGCUAGAUUUUCUAAUUUCUGAUAGCAAAAGUAGAAAGCUAUUGUGAAAUGACUCUAUUGUAUAUGAGUGCAAAUGAGCUAGCUGAUAGAGAUGAGCAUCAAAUCUCAUUGAUGCUGCAGAAGAAUGAAAUAAACUCUUACGUUUUCAAAUGAGCAUGCUUUAUCCAUGGACGAAUUCAUCUGCAUCACUAACCUGCAUGGUACUGAAUAAGGUUAUAGUUCAUAGCCCCAAGAUAGAUUUCCUACUUAGUAUAUUAUGCAUUAUACAUUCUGCUGUUUUCAAUGAAUUUGCACAUGUAUCGCAAUAUAAAGAAAAUUUAUCAACUGAGGCAUGUGAUACUUAUUAAAACAUAAAUUUAAAUGUGCAACAUUAGCUAACCAAUUUAGUUGAAUAUUUCAGUUACACAUUUGAUAUAACAUUUGAUCAUAUCCUGGUAUAUAAUCAUAUGAGGUAACUCCUCCCAAAAGAAAGAAAUUAAACUGAAGAAUUUAUUUUAUCUAAACUUAAUUAUCAUUUUACUGAGUAAUGAUAAAAACCUGCAUGGGAGCAAUUUAACCAACAGAAAGAGGUUGUGGUUGAUACGUCUGCAAGUUCAUUUAGUCUUGCCACUGCCUCCUUCAUCAAAAUUUCUGGAAACAAAUCGUAGUCUCUACCUUUGUGCUCUUCAAAAGCUAAAGAAAUAAAAUUGCGCUCUCAGUAGGUGAUUCAGUUAAGUGCAUAAGGAGGCGUGUAAUUCAAGGGUAAGGGUAGAAUUCUGCAUAGUGCUUGUAUAAUAAGGGCCACUGAAAAGUUUGAGAAGUCAUUACCUGUGAUAUAGAAGUAUGAAGCAGGCGUAAUGACAUAAGAAAUGCCAUGACAGAUUCUUUACAUUGUGGUUGGCAGAGUUGACCAUUUAAUAGUGACAAAAGAAGAAUUUUCAUAAAGAACAGAAUGUGUAUGCUUCAUAUGCUCUGCAUACGCCUUUGGCAGAUAAAAUGUUUGAUAGGAUGAAAAUGUUUGACUAUAAGAUGGUAUAAGCUGCUGUAAACCAAUGUAUUGAGUACAAGUUCUCUGGUUUCUUUAGUGGAGCCAGGAGUUUUGAAAGUUGGUUUUUUAAUUCCCAAACUGGAUGAUGUUUUUGAUGAUUAUAGUUUUUAGAGUUGGUUUUUCUCCAUCCUUAUUAUCAAAUUUAGCCUUCGCACAAGUUUGAUUUGUAGAUGCUAAUUCUGCUUUGUCUCUUUGUUACUUGCCGUGCUUUUUGCUUUCGUAGGUGUGGAUAAAAAUGCCUGUAGGAAGCUCGACAACUGGUGGGAAAAUGGAAGGUAGUGAAGUGUAUGAGUGGAUUCCAGUAUCAAGAUUGGUUAUAACAAGUAAGAUCAGGUGCAAUUACUCAUAGCGUGUUGUUCAUUAGCAAGUACCUGAAUACACUAAUAUGGGAAUCACAGGUUAUUUAGUAAAUAUUUGCAUAUUUUCUUAUAACUUGAUAAGUAACUUAUUGGUGAAAUAUUUGAUGCUGCAUUAACUUGGUUGCUUAAUAAAGUAACUUUACAAAAAAAUCUCUCAUAAAGAAGCAAAAGAAAAAAGGGAAAGAAAUAAAAGUUGAAGUUAGGAGAGAGUUGAAACUGCAACAAAUCACAACAAAUUGGAAUCUGGAAUAUUUGGAGGCUAUGAAUCAUAUCAAAAGCAACUAGUAUAAGAUUACAUGCAACAGCAUGGUUCCAAAAUAUUUAGAGUUAAUUAAUAAGAAGCUUCAAGGUAGACUUACAUGUAUUGUGUCAGAAACAUCAGUAUCAUUAGUCAUCAUUUAAGCGAGUUUGAGUACUAUACUCUUCAAAUAAUUGUGUGGCACUUCUGUCAGAAGCAAACAACACAGAUUAGCUUGCAUUGCAGAGCGAAACACUAUGAAGAAAAUUUGUGUUUGCAUAGCAUGUAAAGAUGCAUUAGAAGAGCUAAUUAGAAGUGCAAAUAUAUAGCACCUAAUAGAGGCAAUGUCAGGGUCAUACACAGAAGGACCUAAUGCAGAUAAAAUAAGGAAGCUGUAAUACUGCUUUCGGUGAAAAGUUGUAGUGCUUGUAGGAUAUGUUGCAUUAUGAGUUGCAUAAAAGUCAUCCAUGUAGGCAAAAGAAAGCCUAUACUUCUCACAGACUAUGUUUGGUUUCCCAUGGAAUUGGGGUUUAGAAUUGGAACUGGAGCCUCAAUUCCAAUUUAGUUAUUUGGAUUUUGUUCCAUUUAAAGAAUUAGAAUUGAAUCUGAAUUCUAUGGGGGUCCAAUUCCAUGAAUUGAAUUCUUUACUGGACCAAAAGAAUUCUUCCUAGGUUGCCAAGAUUUGGAACUUGGAUACCACACAAAGUGCUCAGGGAACACUUUGUAGGAACAUUUGAGGCUUUUUGCUAAAUCAUCUGUAGCAUCCAUUCGAAAAAAUUGGGUCAGCAUAGUUCUUUAUGCAAAAUUGUUACUUAAUACAUUGUCAAGACUAUCAUUUGGUCGAAAGAAUAUAGAUUGAAAGUUUUCUAGGUAGAGUUGAAGCUCUAUUACAGCAAGCUGUAUUUCAUAAAGGUGGAAUCUAUAUAUCUUCCACAUCGCUUCAAUUGCACAUACCCACCGUGCUGACUGAUAUUCCUUAAUUUCAUCAAUAGUAUUUGCUCCAUCAUCAGAAUUCACUUGAAAAUGGAUCUUUCCAUGACCUUUGUAUAUAUACUUUACAGCCUUAAUUGUGGAGCAAAUUUCUACAUUUAUAUGGCAGUUGAAUUUAGCUAAUAGAUAGGCAUUGUAUGGCAUUACCCAUCUGUUGUCUAAGUAGUGCCCUCGGACCAAAAUUUUUUUUUCCAUCAUUUCUUCUUCUGUACGUUGGAUACGAGUUUUGAGAGUGUAUAGUUUUUUCUACUCAUGCCUUUGGAUAAUUAUUCUUGUAAGACUUUUUUGAUGCACCCUGCAUACAUACGUUAUCAGAUUUUUUCUUACCACACGGCCCGUGCAUCAUAUGCUUCUUAACCAUUCUAAAUAGAUGCUCAUUUUGUGCUUGAUCAGGUAUUUCUGCAGAAACUAUACGAUCAUAAUCUUCCGUUGUAUAGAGUUUGAAAGCAGACUUGAGGAUAAUUAGAAAGUGAGCAUGAGGCAAACCAUAUUUUUGAAAUUCUAUAACAUUAGUAUAUGCCGCUACUUCUCCAAAUAUAUGUUUCUUGAAUAACUCUUCUUUCAUAAUUUCUAACUUUGCAUGGAACACACGAGCAAUAAGAUCAGGCCUAUUCUGAGUUUCAUCCGAUUGUAGCAUAUUUUCUUUAAUCUCAAGCCAUGAUUGGUUACAGGUCAUGGUUAUAAAAAGAUCUGGCUUCCCAAAUUUCUGAACCAAAGCCAUAGAAUCAAGAUACCAUUUUUUUCAUAUUUCUAGGACCUCCAAUGAAUGAUGCAGGCAAUAUUAGUCAUUAUCCAAUUUGAAAUCCAUUUUUUUGUCCCAGUACUACACCGUCCAUAAUUUCUUGUAGCUGCUCCCGACGUAUUUGCUACUAUCUACUUCUAUAAAAAUCUAGUCUUUGUAUCUCUAUUUUAACGUACAUGUCAACUGAGUACUGUUGCAAAGCUCUUCCAACAUUUAAAAUAUUUGGCCCAAUCUUUUUUCUCAUCUGGAAUUUAUAUGCAUAAUACUCUCUCAUGGAUAUAUACUCCUUGGAGUUUUCAUAUGCCUUGUAAACUGUAAGAUUUAGAAUAUUUGUCAAAGAAGAGAUGAGUAGAAUUCAAUACAGUUAUAUAUAAUCAAUAGCAUAUGUGUGUUACCUUCUUCUUCAAGAUCAAUCAUUCCUUCUGCCGACUUAAAGCUAGACAAUAUAGUUGUACAUGAGUGUUUCAUAGUCUUUCUUUUGCACAUUUUUGGAUUGCCUCUCCCUGAUCAUUGUAUACUUGGAUGCCAUCCAGUUUCUUUGAAUCGAAAAAGCAACGGAUACUGAAGAAGGUCAUAGCAGUCGUAGUAAUAUUGUACUCGGUGGUUGUGUCCUUCUUUAGUAUAUAUCUGUAUGUGUCUAGAAUAGGCUUGAUAAACAUUUUCUCCGUCAACCCAUAAAGGUGCAACUUGAGACACAAGUGGUUUAUUAAACACUCGCUGGUCACUGUCGCUAUGAGAUUUUAAUACAAUCUGAUAUGAGUCCAAGUUUAGGAGAUUUCUCAAACUCCUGAAGAAGCAAGCAUAUGGAUUUUCUUUCAUUACUUCUAUUAGCUUCACUAUAAUACUUUCGGGCACUUUUUGUGAUGUUGCUAAUCGAUUCUGAAUCUCAUGUUCUGUGUCAUGGAAAUAAAGCUGAAGAUACAUUCCUGAUCCUCUAUGCAGUAUUAGUUCAUUGAUGCAAUGGUAGGUUUGACCUUGCAUCUUGAAUGUAUAGAUUCCGUUUGUUCUCUUGCAGAGGAAUUUGUCAUAGUGAAUGCCAAAGGAAGUAAAUGCAAACAUGCUAUUAUAGGUUCUGACAUAGGUUCGAAAAUGUAUAGCUUCUUCACUUUGACCAGUAAAAAGUUCAAUUAGGAUAUCAGGUAGCUUAUUUUCAUGGAGCAGAACUUCGCCAUCAGAACAACAAAAGUUUGCUGUCUCCGAGUAGAAUUUUUUUGCUCCACAAUAUUUACAAUCUAAUGCAUCAGAAAGCUGGUCUGCAUUAUGCCUAAUGAAAUUCAGAGCAUCUACACUAGCUGUAUUUUUAGAUGCUGUAGAAUAAUAGAAAUACAAAGUAUUUUUAUCACUAUCUUAUGUGCAUAUGAAACAACUAUAAAUAUUUGAAUAUGAAUAGAUAUAAGAUAAAGAAACAGCAAUGACACCUUUGUUUUGCAUGCAAGCUUUUUUUGCUCGGAUAUCUGAUCUCCUUUGGCUUGAGUUUUUGCCUAUGAAGCAAUCGUAUGGCCAGUUAGGAAGUUAAAAGAAUUAUAAUGCUAAUAAAGAGUAUAUAGAUUCUGCAACAUUUCUAGAUAUAUUUUAGAUAUACAUACCUUUUCAACGAUUUUUCAUGAUAUGAGAAGCAUUGUCUUCCACUGGCUGAGGAUGUACUGUCAUAGAUAUGUCUGAUCAGGCAAAUAAGAGAAUGUAAAAACAUAAAUCAAGUUCAGUAACUGAACGACAUAAAGCAAAUAUUUGUGAAAAUAGGAUUAAGGACCUUAACCUGCAAGAUCAUCAACUGUUUCAUGCAAGAAUUUAUAGCAGUUGUCACACAUAGAAGGAUCAUCUGCCAAAUCAAAAGAUAGAAAUUGUUAUAUGAAACAUGGACUGAUAAGUAGGAUUAUAACAAGACAUACCUGCAAUGUUUAGUCUGCUGGUUCUUCUGCAUUUAUAGACUGGUGUCUGUGUUGAGGAAGAACCUAUAUAAAUAUAAGAUGGAAAAAUGCAUUCAUAAAUAUAGAAGAGCAAAAAAAAAAGGAACAACUUGAUCCAGGCAUACCACGUUCAAAUGUGGAAAAUAUAGAAACAUGCUUCUUCAGCUUGGCUUUUGAUUCAGCAUUGCUUUUACACAGAGAAUUACUUUUGUUAUGUUGUUGCACAACUGAUUUGAUAGUAAUAGAUUGUUGCACAUUAGCCUCUUUGUCUCUGCUCUAUUGUCGAAAUGGUUUAAUAGUAAUGCCUUGUUGGUUGUUGUGUUCAUUGUUUUGCUGUAAAUCACAACAAACUGGAUGUCGUGCACCUGAAUUAGAAGGUUUCGAUAAUUUACAUUCCAUAGUAACUGGAAACUGUUCUCCAUUGAUAUGCAUUUCUUAUAGAUUUUGUUUUGAAUUUAGACAUAAAGAUUUCUUUUAAUCCAGUGUUAAGGUAUCAAAGAAAAACACUCAAAAACUUCAGAUAAAGGCGAACUCAAAUGUUGUUCUUCAUGUCUAUAUAUUUAUUACAAAAGUUUGCUAUCAAUUUAGAGAUAAAGAGGUUUAAUCAACCAUUAAGCUAGUUAAACUGAAUCAGAUACCAUUAGUUUGCUAUUGGUUCAUAGAAGACGUGGAUGCAACAGCUUUCCUUGCUUUUCUCUCUUGAUAAGUGUUGGCCUAAUCAGCAACAUCCCUCAGAUCCCGACUCGAAGGGACUAACCGCCCAGCCCGUGGCACCUAGGGGUGCAGCCCCUCAUGCUGGCCGAGCGUGGUACGGUGCUUUGCGCUGCCAUUGUGGUUAAGGAAAUAAAGUUGCGCCUUCGCUAAAAGCUAUAGCUUUUGGUGCAAUGGUAAGCGCUUGAUCCUGACAAGUGGUAUCAGAGCGAGGUCGCGGGUUCGAGUCUCCCUAGCUGUUGCUGGGGGAGGGAUUGUUGGCCUAAUCAGCAACAUCCCUCAGAUCCCGACUCGAAGGGACUAACCGCCCAGCCCGUGGCACCUAGGGGUGCAGCCCCUCAUGCUGGCCGAGCGUGGUACGGUGCUUUGCGCUGCCAUUGUGGUUAAGGAAAUAAAGUUGCGCCUUCGCUAAAAGCUAUAGCUUUUGGUGCAAUGGUAAGCGCUUGAUCCUGACAAUAAGCUUUCCUCUGCUUAGCUCGACGAGCUUCUUUUUCUUCCACUGAUAAGGAAGUAUAUUUUUCUCUUAAUCUUCGAUUGCGAACAGUACUCUUAUCCAUUGAAUAUGCAAGCGCGUCCGUCGAAACCAUUGUACAGCGAAUAUGCAAAGCUAACACCAAGCAUAAGAGUAAUAGUAAAUAUGGUUUACAAUUUGUAGCAUGAGUAAAUAUAGAAAAUAAAGAUUUAGCAUAAACGAACCGGAACCUAGAUAUGGAGUUUUGCAAAGCAAUUACAAAGGUAGCAGGAUAGAGCGAAGAGUUGUGGAUAGUUCAUGCAGCAAAAAAAGCAACCAAUUGAUGACUCUGGUAGUUCACGCAGAAGAGAACACUGAAUUUUCUAAUUUCCGAUAGCAAAAAUAGAAAGCUAUAUGAGUGCAAAUGAGCUGGCUGAUAGAAAUGAGCAUCAAAUCUCAUUAAUGCUGCAGAACAACCAAUUUCCACUAACAUCUGGCUAAGGCUUGAAAUAAGGAUAGGAAAGACAUAUUAUCCAAACAAAAGCAGCAAUCAGUUGUACCAACUCCAAGAAAGAGAACAACCAAAAGGCUGGAACCACAAAAAUGCCCUCAAGAAAGCAGAUGAAAAGCAAUGAACAGUAACCCACAAAACAUCUUCUUAUAUGUUAUAAGGAUAUAAGAACUUCAAAUUUAAUUGGUAAGCUAAACUCUAACAUAUCAACUUCCACUAAAAUUUUACGUCCAAGUAUAGUUAUAGUUAAGUUAACUAAUUAGUAUUUAGUCAUAUGAUUAAGAUUUACUCUUAUAUUUAGUAAUAUACAUAAGUGGACAUAUAUUCUACUUUGACUCCUCCUAUUGAUUUUAAGGGAAAGAAUGAUUUCACUUAAUUGUUCUUGAAAUUUUAAAUGGGCAUGGGCUAUGCUGGGCACAACUUGAAUUCUGCUAGUCUUAUCUUAUAUCUUAUAUGUGAGAAGAAAGGAUAGUUUAGUUCUUUGCCCCCUUCCUUGUUACUUGGUUUCCUAAUAACUUGACAAGUGGCAUGACUCUAAUAUUUCUUACCCCUUGCAUAUCUUUUUUUUGUUCCUUUGUUCAUGCCAAACCAAAUAAGUCUCGCCCUUGUCUUUUUUGAACCCAAUGGAUUUUCUACCUAUUAUAUAAGAAAACAUGGGAGUUUGCUAUAAUACCCCAAUUUUUUAACACUCGGCAUACCUCUCCUUUGACGAAGUUGUGAUUUUUUUCCCAUUUUUUUAUUUUCCCACUUGUCCCUUGAUGGGCCAAGAUAGAGGAACUACUAUGUGGGAUAAAAUAGAAGAUUUUCAUUCAUUUUGCUUAAUCAUAUGGACUUCUACUACUUUUAUGUGUUGUCUAAUUUAUGACUAUAGGAUCCAGUUUUACAAAUUAAUGAAAAACUUUUAGUUCUUGGAUAUUGAUUAAUUUUGUUUAAUUAGUGGCUUACCCAACUCUUAUAUUUAAACAACUCCUUUUUAUGAACAAUUAAAGUCUCUUUCUGUUGUACUAUAAAUCAUUUCUCAAAGUUGCAUAGAAAAUUAGAUUUCUUUCUUCCCAAUUGUACUUAACCAUGCACUUUCUUUAUUGACUGUCUUCAUUAACCUCAAGGUUGAUAGAUCCUUUUUUACCUAUUUCCCAUAAUCAUAAUAUGGUUUUUCAAUUUCGCUUAAGAGAAAUUACAGACUUAAUAUAUAGUAACAUAUCUCUUGUAUUUCUAUUUAUUGUAUACAAAAAAGAUAUGUUACCAUAUGUUCAAUUAAAAUGCUAGGGGGCUUAGGCUAUGCAAGGCACAACCAAGAUACAUCUAGUAUAUACAUACAUACACAUAUAUACAAGUGUAAUAAAUGUAUACAUAUUACAUUUAACCAACAAGUGUUAGACUAGUACAUUUUAUCACAAUUUUUCUAGAAUUGUGUACCAAAUUCAAUCCCAAACAAUUAAAAAAAAAACCUCAAUCCACAUUUACAAGCUAAGAAUCUUAAUGGAGUCGGGCUAGCCUGAAUUCGACCCAAACAAUAGAGCUAAGCCUUAUAUAUAACUGAGUCGGGUAGAGAUUGGGCCUAAAUUUUAGGCCCAAAUUAAAUAUGAAUCGAGUGUAAACUUUAAUUAAGUUCAAAUCGAUUAAAGCCUAGUCUAAAUAAUUAUAUAUUUAAGUAUAAUAUAUAUAAUAAUAUAUGUAAUAUAUUAUGCACAUUAUAACUUAAAAAAUAAUAAUUUAUAGAUAAUUAUAUAAUAAUACACAAAUAUUAAAUAUAUAUUAUAAAUAAAUAUGUAUCAAAUUGUGAGCUUAGACCAAGUCCGAUUUAAGCAUGAAGUUCUAUAAUUUUGUGGGUUAAGUAUGAGCCUGAGUCAACUUGAAAUCUAAAAGCUCAAAAAUCCUAUCUUAUUUAUGAGCCGAGUUUGAACUUGAUAAAAUCCAACUCAUUAAACCCAAUGAACAACAUUAAUGUGAAAUGUACUCUUCAAGUAUACAGCCCCCUUAUUCCAAAAUUCCCUACUCCAUGCUAUGUUGAAUGUAACUCAAAAUCUAUCACCAUUCAUCUUCUUCUUUUUUUUUAAAAUUUUUUUUAGUAUAAGUGAGAGGUCUCGAAUAUGAGACUUCUCACUUACGCUCCCUUUCUCCCACUCAUUCUCUCUCCUUUUCACCUACUACUAUUAAUUUCUUUACCAUUCCCUUCUAUAAAACUUUGGAUACGUACUUCCGUUCACUAGAACAUUUCAUGUGGAAUUUUAUAUAAUUAAUGCUUAUCAAAGUAAUGAAAAUAUUUCUAAUGAAAAGGAUUGAAAUGAGAAACUUAUAGUUCUUCCAAUUCCCAUUGACAUUUUAGGAGAACAAAAAUUGCCUUACCUUGGAUCAACUUCUUUUUGCAUAUGCUUAUCCCUCCUGAUUCUAAGAGUCAGGGAUUAGACUCUCUACUAUUACCAAACUAGUUGCUAGUUGCUAGUUGCAAGAUACAAUUAAUGGUUUAUACGCAUUUGGUUUGAAGCUAGAUGGAUGAGAUUGAUGGUACAACACAAAGUUUUAGUGUCAAAUUUUUGUUGUUUUAUCCGUAUGCUCAUUUGUUCUGUUAUACUACAUCACAAUAAAAAUUGUUUGGUGCAAUUGACAUGGAUAAUUGGAGAACCAUGGUGUGGCAAUGCAUGUUGUGGCCAUUAUGCAUUGCAAUGUAUGUACUCAAACUACAAAUACAAAUUUUUUUAGUAAAAUAUAGACAAAAUGGGUACAAUAUGGAAAAUUAUAUGUAAAUCUUUAUUUAAAAGUACGAUUAAAAAUUCAAUGGAGAGAUACGAGUUCUUGAAGAUUAUGUAUAUAAAUUCAUAUGUGAAUAGUGUGAAUGUGUUUAAAUCAAAAAAUUCAAUUAAAUUUUUAGUGAUUUUCAAAGAUUACACCAUAUUAAUACCAACUUUAACUCUUUAUGCGUAUAUGAGACAUUAAUCAAUUAAAUUUUUAUAAUAUUAUUUAAUUUAUGUAAAUAUAUCAAAUGACAGACAUCAUUUUUUAUUUUGUAUAAAACUUGAAGGAUAUGCCAUUAUUCUUACACAAAUUUUAUAAACCUUUUUUUUAAGAUUGAAGUGUUAUUCAUGAUCUAUGAUACACUGAAAUGUAUUAAAUAUUUUAUAGGAUAGCUAAAAAGUAUUAUUGUUUUUAAAAUUCAUGAAAUAUGAAUGUUUUUUUAAAUUAUACAUACCUACUUACAUGCAAGAAUAAGAUACUAAUUUUUAGUAACCAUAUGAUACGCAAAUACAUACAUGCAUAUAUACAUACAUAUAUACACACACAUUCAAGUGUAAUAAAUGCAUACAUAUUACAUUUAACCAACAAGUGUAAGACUAAUUUAUUUUAUCACAAUUUUUUUCUAAAAUUGUGUACCAAAUUCAAUCCCAGACAUUAAAUUAAAAAAAAAACUCAAUCCACAUUUAUAAACUAAAAAUGUUAAUGGAUUCGGGCUAGACUGAAUUCAACCCAAAGACUAGGACUAAGCCUAUAUUAAACUGAGUCAAGCAAAGAUUGGGCCUAAGUAUUAGGACCAAAUUAAAUAUGAGUUGAGUUUAAACUUUAUUAAGUUUAGAUUGAUUAAAUCCCAGUCCAAAUAAUUAUAUAUUUACGUAUAAUAUUAUAGUAUAUAAUUAUGCACAUUAUAACUUAAAAAUUAACAAUUUAGAGAUAAUCAUAUAAUAAUAAACAAAUAUCAAAUAUUUAUUAUAAAUAAAUAUGUAUUAAAUUGUGAAUUUUGACCAAGUCCGAUUUAAGCACGAAAUCCUAUAAUCAAGUCCGAUUUAAGCACAAAUCCUAUAAUUUUGUGGGUUAAGUAUGAACUUGAGUCAACUUGAAAUCUAAAAACUCAAAAAUCCUAUCUUAUUUAUAAGUGGAGUUUGAACUUGACAAAAUCGAACUCAUUAAACCCAAUUAACAACAUCAAUGUAAAUUAUACUGUACAAGUAUACAGCCCCUUAUUCCAACAUUCGCUACUCCAUGGCGUGUCGAAUAUAACUCAAAAUCUAUCACCAUUCAUCCUUUUCCCCUUUUUUUUUUGGAAUUUUUUAGUUUAAGUAGGAUGUUUGGAAUUUGAAACCUUUCACUUACACUCCCCUCCUCUCAUUCAUUCUCUCCCCAUUUCACCUACUACUAUUAAUUUCUUUACCAUUUCCUUUUAUAUAACUUUCGUUACCAUUUUCACCCAACGAAACCAAAAUAUCCCAAAAAAAAAUGAGAAAAAAAUCUCUCACACAUCAUCACACAAGUCACACGUAUGAACACAACAAAAGCCUUUUCAUAACAUCAUCUCCACCGUCGCACCCUCACUUUAUACUUCAGUUACACUUGCCAACGUCAACAUCAACUAACCAACAAGAAGUAUAAUGGUCAUUUCUAUAAUGGCAAAAUUGUAACUUCACAUCCUACUCUCAUUUUACUCUUUCUUUUCCUUGGUUUUUUCCCAAACAAAAGAAAGCAAUAAAUUCAAAGCUCGAAGCUUAUAAACGAAAAUCCAUAAUCAAACAGCACAGCUGUUUUUCUUUCUCCUUUUCUCUUCUCUUUUCUCUCUUCUUUCCUGUCCUCUCUCACUUCCCGAGGCAGCAACCAAAAACCACUGCAAAAAAACAUCUGUCGAAGAUUUAUGUUAUCCCAGUUUGUUAAUAAAUUUCAGCUGGAAUGAAAAAAUAUUUACUUACUUUAUGUGUGCAGCUGAUCAUCUCCAGCCUCUGCUCAGAUCUCCCUCGUCCUCUUCACUGUAAGUUUCUUCACUCUUUUGCUUUCGCCUUUGAUUUCUUGUUUUAAUCCGUGUAUAGGCAAAGGCCCACCACCUGAAAACAUGUGUAGAUGUGUUUGGCUUGAUCAUUUUUAUUUUUUUCCUUUUUUGAGGCUACGUGUAUCAUGGGUUUUCCUUUUUUCCUUUGGUUCAUCGAUGUGGUGGUGAUUGAGAUAUUCAUCUGAAUAUUUGUAAAUCAGAGUUCUGGUGCUGUUUACAAAGCUUUGGAUUUUAUGUGCAUAAACUGGUUGGUUUAUCUGCAUUUUGGGUAUGCGUGCCUCUCUAUGUUGUUUUAUGUUCUCAUUCACGGAGCUUUUUGGUGGUGACUGGGAUUGGGACUGAUGUUCAAUUUCUUUCCCAACUGGAUGAUUGUGGAUUUUUUUGGUAUUUGUUUUCCUGUAAGCGCUGGGUUGGGUUUUGGGAGGUGUUGGGGGGGGGGGGAGGAUAAUAUUUUGGAAAGGGCUGGUUUUUUUUUUUUUCUUUUGGGGAAAGGAUUUUGGAUGUUGUGGUUGAUUCUGGAGAAUGGUUUGUGCUAGCUGCAGAAAUUCUUUUUUCUCCCUAAGGGUGCACAGGUUUUUUUGGGUGAUUCUGGAAGGAGGCAAAAUGGUGUUCUGUGGAGGGAUUUGAAUGUCGUGGAUGACUCUGCAGUAGGGUUUUUUUGAUGGCUUUAAUAGUUCUUUUUUCUGUGCAUAUGGGUGUGCGCGCUUUUAUUGGUGAUUAGUGAAGGAGAUGAAUGGUAUUAGGAAGGGAUUUGGAUGUUGUAGAUGAUUUUGGAGUAGGGUUCUGUGCAUUCUGUUGUAGUGCUGUUUUCUCUGUAUGGGCGCACAUGUGACUGCAUGUUUUUUGGGUGAUUAUGGAAGAUGAAACGUCGUUGUUUAUGUUCUUGAAGGAAUUUGUGGGUUGCUGAUGAGUUUGUAGUGGGUUUUUGUGAUGGACCCCAAGAUUGGUUAUUUAUUCGCCACAGUUUGAAGCGGAUUCAAAAGAUCAAUCUAUGGGGUUUUUGUCAAUUGUUACCAUAAGUGUUAUCAAUUUUUUAAUGUCUUCCCUUGCUGUCUGGACAAUUCAAGUAGACCAGUCAGGAUUUGGAAAGUUUUUUUUUUUAACUAAUUAAAUUUCUGGGGUUUACGUUUUUCACUUACAUCUUGCACUCAAUCAUUUGUUAUUUUGUUUUUGCUUUUUACUUUUCCUUAAAAAAGAGGCUAGAGAUAUUUCGGCAUCGAGCCGCUACAUAUGCCUACCUCAUAUAAGUGUAGCUGUGAUUGUUCCGUAAUUUAUAGCUGUGGGUUCUCGAAAAGUCAUAUUUGUCGUUUUACUUUGAUAACUGUGGCAUGCACAUCUGUUGUCGUAUGUGGUUGAGUACAUAACACGUGGUUUAUCAUUCUACUCCUUUGGGAAUCAGAUGUCGUUCAAAUUCUUUUCGGAUAUUCUUUUUUAGACAGUGUAAAUUUGGUCUUCUGCAGCAAAAUGUGUUCAGGGAAUUCAAAAGUGUUGGAGCCUAGAUUAGUCCGUGCUUGCUGAUACAAUCAAUUGCCGAGCAUAAAGCUGACGUAAACACUUGUAUUCCUUGGUUAGUUUGCUCCCAAUGAAUGCAUGUGUGUCAAUUUGUUGUUGGAGAAUUGAAAAUUUUGGUCUUUGGCAUUAAUCUCCUAUAAUCAUGUAGCCUAGGCGUGGGGUGUCCAUCUAAUCGCCACUGCACAAGUUUAGAUUUAAAGCAGAUUCUGAAUAUGCUUCUCGUAGAACAUUUAAUGGCUCAUGGCAUGACGUUGCUUAGACAAUUUGAGAUUUUCUUGUUAUCUUUUGGUGGACUUGCUCCUUGAAGGGAGAUCACCGACAGUGCCCCCCUCCUCUUUCUUACCUAAAAGGAAUAAAAGACACAAAAGUGCCAAAGGAAAGAAAUAGAAAACCAAAAGGAAAUGAGUGAUUGGUUUUCCUUUAAAUUGGAAAAAGGGACGACUGAUCACAGUAUUAGACAUCUGUGAGGAUCAUACUGUUGAUGAUCAUUCUAAGUCAGGAAAAAUGAUACUGCAUAAACUAGUGCAAGACAAAAGUUUGGAAGUGCUUUGUUGUUAUGGGGAUUUCUAUAACUGUUCGCUUUCUGGUAUGGAACAAUUGAUGUACUUGUCUCUGAGGAUAUAUGGAUUGCAAGGCUAAAAGUAAGACAAGAGGAAGCUAACGAGACAGAUAAUUGAACUAUUUUUCUGAGACAUUGCCAGACAUAGUCAUGCUAUGUAUAGUAUUUGGUCAAGGAGUAUCUGUUUUGACCUUGGUGCUAUGGAGAGAAUUCUUCUUAGGUUUCUGACUUGCUGCUAGCAUACUAUGGUUGCAUAUAGGAUUCAACCAUUUUGCUUAUUUCUGUAUCCGAAACAUCCUCAAGGAAUGUUGUUUACGGUCCAACUUUGGAAGAUGCCUUUUUACUAUGCAAAAGAUUGCGUCUAAAUUCACCAAUGCUAUUACAUUUUUUUCUUGGUCAUGUGUUCUGGACACUUAAUCCAGCAUAAGCUUCUCUGUUGUCGGUUUUCUAAAUCCAGUUUGCCUCGAGUGGUUGAAUAUUGGAAUGGAUAUCCAAAAUUUUUCUUGUUGUGGAGAAGCCGUUGAAGAAUAAUAGAGAAAUGGGCAUAUGUGAGUUGUGUUUAAUUAUGACUGACACCAUAUAAAGUUUCUAGCUGUUGUCUAUCUUCUUAACGAGGCUUCCGUAUGGUCAAAAGCACAACUAUUAUGUCUGGAGUUAGUUAUCCUUGCUCAGAAGGGUACUGAUCUGUCUGGGUAAUUAAUCUGUUUGGAACAUGGAAAGAAAUAUUCUUCUAUUAAGAAUGAUGAAGGUCAGAAUAUGUUUCUUCUUUUCCUAAUACAGAGGUCGCACGUAAUUCAGCUGAUGUAGACGCUUCAAUAAGUAUCAUGGGGUGCAAAUUUGUAAUGUAUUUGUCUUGCCUCCUAAGGUUAAAAGUGGUUCUUCAAAAUAAAGAAAUGAUAAUGCUUCUUCAUGAUGAAUUGAUUGAUAUACUUGUAAGGAGGGAGAGUAAGUACUGUUUCAUGUGGUUUAGACAAGUAUAGAUUUUGUAUAGACGUUUCAUUUAAAUUCUUUUGCUGUUGAAAAUAAGUCAGUUAGUAAAUAGUUCAGGCAUCCAGAAUUCUAAUAUAGUUUCUGCAAGGAAGGACAUUAUUUUGGACAGCUGAUCAUGUGAUCCAACAUAUACGCUAAGGUUAUGGCUAGUGAAGGCCUCGGUGCCGUUUUAUUUGUUCGAGUUGCUUAAUGUAUAAAUGCUCAACUUCUGUGAAAGGUUGUGCAAUCUGUUUUAAAAGGACAUACUUGUUUUGCAUGUUCUGCCUCAUAUAUUUUGGUAUCAACUUCUCAUAGUGGUAAUAUCUCAGGUUAGAUGAUUGGUUGACUGAAUACCGUCUUUGGAGGGGAAUGAUUCUGAGCUUGAAUUUGUCAAUGAUGGUGACUUACUUGGGUAUAAUCUGAUGUCAUCCUAGUUAAGUUCCUGCCAUCAACUUCCUUUUUGGGUGCUGAGACGGUAGCAAACCUGAAGAUUACUGGGGAAUGAAGCACUUAUAUUGCUUUACUCAUCCCUUGUCUUUUUUUAAUUCAGGUAUUGAGGACACCUCAAAUGGAACCGCGAUCAUUUAAAGUUAAAUUUAAGGUGAACCAUGGAGGAGGUUCAGCGAAUAAUUCUACAGAAGAUAGUUGCCAUACAAGCAUUAUAAGGGAACAAAGUGAUCCAAGUGGACCUGCUUCCUCUGCUGUCCCUGAGACUACUCAGACUACAAUUGAUGUAUCUUAUGGGGAAGGGGAAGAAGGCCAUUGCACUGACAAUGAAGAGAAUCAAUCACAUGAAAAUGCACAUAACCAGUUGGUGCUCUAUGAUCCUCCAGUUAAUGGUGUGGGUGAAAUUAUUCAUGUUCCAGAGCCCAUUGCAUCUGAAGCCCCUUCUUCACGAAGAUACUCCUUUCAUCAAACAACCAGGGUUUUGCCAUCAGUUGGAGCAUUUACUGUUCAAUGUGCUAACUGUUUUAAAUGGAGACUUAUCCCAACAAAGCAGAAGUAUGAGGAAAUUAGAGAACAUAUUUUAGAGCAUCCUUUUUUCUGUGAAACCGCUCGUGAAUGGCGCCCAGAUGUAUCAUGUGAUGAUGAGCCUGAUAUCGAACAAGAUGGCAGUAGGCUUUGGGCAAUUGAUAAACCCAGUAUUGCCCAGCCUCCUCCUGGCUGGCAAAGGCUUUUAAGAAUCAGAGGUGAAGGAAGCACCAAAUUUGCAGAUGUGUAUGUCUCUCUCUCUCUCUCUAUAUCAUUUUCGUAUCCUUUUGACUGCUUUUUCACUUGAGCCGUGGAGCUGAAACUUAAGUUUCCUUUUGAGCUAUUUACAGUUACUAUGAGUCUCCAUCAGGCAAGAGACUGCGUUCAAUGGUGGAAAUUCACAAGUAUGAAUUCUUUAUUUUGUUCUUGUGGAUUGCUCUCUCUCUCUCUCUAGGUGGUUCAUGUGAAAGUAUUAAUCUGCCGAAGAUGUUCUCUCAGCGGUUCUUUGUCUGCAUAUUUUAUCUCUACCAUCUUUUAGGUACUUGGAGGAACAUCCUGAGUAUUACGAGGGAGGUGUUACUUUGGCGAGAUUUUCAUUUCAAAUCCCGAGACCAUUGCAGGAAAACUACGUGAGAAAACGUCCUCGACCAGUGCCGUCAAAUGGGGAGAAAGUACAAGAACUUGGAGGUGAAUAGUCUUUUCUUGUGUAUGAUACAAUCUUAACAAGCCAUCUCUGGGAAGAUUAGACCAAUCAAUUUUGCCUCACCAUGCUUUAAGCUUCUUAGAUCAUCUUUAUCUUAUGACCAAUUUUCUUUUUUUUUUCUAGCAAGAAAAGUUGAUCAGCUUUGACAUAUUGGAUGCAUUUUUUUAUAAUAUCAGUCUGGAAGCUACUAGAUAAAUCACUUCUGUUGGGUCUGUUGUUACCUUUGCUUGUUGCAGCUUUAUGUGGUUACCCUGUUUAUACAAAUUUGUUAUUUCGGCUUUUAUAUUGAGUUGCAUUCUGGUUACAAUGAGUUCUUCUAAAAUAUCAUUACUUCUUUUGCAGUCAAACCGAUAAGUUGGGCAGCUCCAGAUGAGGAUAUAGAUUUGGAGCUUGGGAGGUCAAGUCAUCCUACUCCUUAUGAGGAUACUCUCCCUGUGUCUGACUAUCAGCUAGUGAAGAAAAAGAGGACACCGUCUAAGAAAAGAUGUAAUGGUGAUUCAUUAGGCAGUUCAAGCCAGGUGAAUGUGGAAGAGAGUCUUCAUCUCUGAUUUGGGUGCCUGUGGCCCAAACCUGUCUGAUACCUAUUGAGUUAGCUGAUGUUCAGCACAUUUGCAGUUCAGGUUUUGUGGAGACGUGUCUAGGCUUAUGUACUUAAAGAAACUUGUGUUAUGUUGAACUUUUGUUAUAGUGUUUUGGUUUUGUUACUCCCUAGUUGGAGAUAAAGGUACAUUAAGUCAAAGACCAUAUUUUGAAUGGCAUGUUUGGAAAGUGUAUGUAAGAAAAUUUCAUGUGGUAGUUUAUACAAUAGAUAGUUCUUGCUAGGUUCAUAUGAAUGUGUUCUCAGCAGCUGAUGGUUUAAGACUAGUAUCUCUACAUUGUCUAGGUUGCUUUGGAUGAAUGCUGUACUUGGCGCUGUUUACAGCGUUUUUCUGGUGCGAAAUUAACAUGUAAUUCACCACCAAAUCUUAAGAUAUCAAGACUUGGUGGUAUGAGAAUUACAUUUUGAUUUCACUACCAAAUUAGAAGCUAUUGAGACUUUCUAAUCCAGGAUGUAACAUAAGGGUGAAGAGCCUACGACGCUUUGUGAUGGAUGAAAACCUUUGUUUGUUGGGGGGGGGGGGGGGGGUUUGGUUCUUUAUUAUUAAAUGUGUGCAUAUGGAUGGAGUAUUUGCUGGAAAGAAAAAUUAUCUCUCGUCAAGCACUGUUUGGAUUGUAAAUUAUUUGUCAAAAUUUAUUUGCUUAUAUCAUCAUUACAAUUUUCAACACACCUUUUUAUCUUUUCAAUUACCUUUUUAUCUCACAUACAUCACAUCACAAAAAGUGUUACAGUAAAAAUAUCUCAAAUAAUUUAUAAUUCAAACAAGUUGCUUAGAUUUUGGUGGCUUGCUUUUAUAGUUGUUUGUUGUCUGGGGAAGCAAUCAAGUUUGAGGCUGUGUAUGUAACCUAAUCCAGCAUGAGCCAAGGAAAAACUCCAAGCACUCAAAGUUGAUUGCAGCAUAAGCUUGACUAACGCUACAGGCUGAUUGAUGUGAAAACUUUUCAAGCAUCAGUUGAACUGGUAGACAUAUGAGCUCACUGGUUUCUCCAUGUUGGUAAGAGUUAUUAGUCAAUCACUAUGUAUAAUUAAAGAAAUAAGUACUCCAAGCUCAGUGAAUUUGACAAACUUUGAGCCAAGUAUUGAAGUUCUAGAGUUUUAGCCACCAUUACAAGCUUAUUUAUGUAUCGCUCUUAUGAUGUUUCCUUUCAUUUAAGUUGGUAACCUAUUUAGGAGCAUGGAUCUCUUCGUGAAACUUUGGCCGUCAACUAGAGCUAGCUUCAUUUAUGUCGCAAUGCUAACUUAUGAGAGGUUAGAACAAAUGGGAACUGCAGAACCAAAUGAUCUUUUAAUUGCAGCAUAGCACCAAAAUUGAUGAAUAUAAAAAACAAUUGACAAAUGAGAUAUAUCUCUGAACAAUAGCAUCGAAAGUAUUGCAGCGUACUAGGGUUGCAAACGAAUCGUGCCACUCGUGAGCAACUUGAAUCAGAAUUCGACUUAAACUUAGUCAAUAUCAAACUCGAGUCGAGUUCGAGCCGAUCAAGUUGAACUCGAGCUUGAACUUGGACUCAAAGAUAUUCAACUCGUUAGUUCGCGAGCCGGCUCAAUAAUAUAUAUAUAUAUAUAUAUAUAUAUAUAUAUAUAUAUAUAUAUAACGAACUCGAAUUCGAACUUGAGUUUAAAGAUAUUCAAUUCGUUAGCUCACGAGUCGGCUCGAUUAUAUAUAUAUAUAUAUAUUAUUUUUUAUUUUAAUAAUAAAAUUACAUAUAUAUUUCUAAUAUUUUAUUUUUUUUAAGAAAAAUUAUUAUUUUAUUCACUUUUUUAAAAUUUAAAUAAUUAUUUUUUUAUUUUUUUAAAUUCGAGUCGAGCUCGAAUUCAAGUUCGAGUUUUAUAAAAUUAAAUUGAGAUUCGAUUCGAUUAGACUAAAACUCAACUCAAUUUGACCUGUUUGCACUCCUCGAGCGGAGUGGGAGGUGUAUGGAAGCAGCAAAAGAUUGGGAAGUGGACCAGGGGCAAGAAUGGUUUUCUGGCAAUUAUGUUUAUUUUGCACAGCGUGCAACUUUAUUUGCACACAGCGUGAUUUUGUUUGCAUAAUGUGUAAUUUUAGCAUAAAUUUUUGUGAACCCCACACAUUAUUAAAAAUGAAGUACAAAAAAUGAACAGCUUGUGAACCGUACAUUUUUUUUUUGGUCAAAUUUUGAUCAUGAACAGCUCAGGAACGAUCCACCUGAUGACCGUCCUGCCCGGUAUCCAUUGGGAAGUGGGCAGGCUAAUAGCAACUCCUCACAUUUAUUGCGUUAAUUGCUACUCGCAGAAAGUGGAACUUGGUUACAAGUUUGGUCCCCCAACAUGUGCCAUCCAUGAGCUCAUCAGUGCUCCUCAACUAUCCUACUUUCAAGCCUCUUGUCCGACAAGCAUGCUACACUAAGUUUGACUAUUGCUGAAAAGCAAGAGUUUACUUACAUGCCUAGAACAUCUACAUCAUUGUUUUAUGCAUACAUUGCAACCAGCCUUAGGCUUUGUUUAAUAAUUCAAUUCAAUACUUAAAUUUAAUAAGUUCAAAUCUUAACAGGUUCAGAUGUGUUUGAUAAUUAAAAAUUGAAUAUUUAAAUUAAUUAAGUGACACUGAAUUUUUUAACCAAAAUUUGCUCUAAAAAAUAAGUGAUGAACUAUUCACUUAUCACUUAAUAUGAUACACACUCAAAUGUAUUAGAUUUAGUACUUAACAAUUCAAUGACUUAAUGAAUUCAAACUUCAGAUUUCAGAUUUCAAUUUUCAGUUUUCAGAUUUUAAUUUUAUCAAAUGCACCCUUAGUUGCAUAUGGAGUGUGUGUGCGUGCAUGAAUGUGUGCCUAACUAGGGGAAACUAGAUCAGUCAGAAAGACAUAAUGAAGGAGAAUGACAAGCGCAGAAGUGAAUAGGUAGAUAACCUGGACAAACCAUAUUACUCUAUGGCCGCAGAAAUAACAAUUAUAGAGUGAGACUAGUAAAGAGAAGACAUUCACCCAGCACAGUGAUCAUCAUAAAAUUCAGAAUGAGUACAAUGGGGAGCUUAUAUAACAGAAUCCCAUAUGCGGACCUUUUCCACUUUGAGUCAGUUUGAGAAAUUGAGAGUGCUGGAAGCUUCACAGAAUUAUUAGGAAGCUAGGCGCCUGCCCACCCAAUCUCCUCACCUUAACUCCCCAAUGGGAUGAUGGAGAGAACCAUCAUGCUUAGAAUAUCAGACGACUGAGAUAAUGCAUCUAUCAGCAACUGCCAUUGCCACGGUAUCACUUCUCUUGGUCUCUGGUCAAUGUGCUGCUACCGUAGCAUCAUCUUACCUGCAUCCAACUAGUCAAUUUAGCAACGACAACAUGCAUAGAAAGUACAGAAAAAGAAAUAGACUUGGCGCAUUACAUGUAACAACCCACUUUGCUCCUGGAGGUCAAGAUUUUUUGCUCCAGUAGAGUUUGUGGCAGAACAACGAUCUUGGAAUUGCCCAUAAUUUUCAUGCACAUAUGCCAUUUCUAUCACCUAGACAUUGCACACUAGAAGGGAACAAAGAAGAUGAUCAGAAGCUCCACUGAUGACAACACCUUUGUCUCUGACCUGCAGCAUAUAAGCCAAUGCUCCUCCGGAGAUCACUUCACCAGGAAUAAGUAAUGGUAUCCCUGGCGGAUAAGGACAUAUUAGUUCACCGCAUAUUUGGCCAAUGCUAUCUUUUAUGCCAACUUUUGUUUUUUGAGCAAAGAAAGCCUCUCUUGGGCUUAAUCUCAUGCUGAAAUCAUUAAAGGGCAUGACAUGGUCAGGAUUCUCACUGUAUUUUGUGCAAUUAGAAGCUGCUGAUAUUGCAGAUAGGUGCUUCAGUCCUGAUAUAAACCUCAAGACAUGUUCUCUUUGAGUCCCUAGGUUAAAUGCUAGAGUGAUAGAUCGUGUCCCAACAAGUUCAGAAACAACCCCAAAAUCCUUGCUUAAAAUAUCAUCAGCCUCAAAACCAGAGAGACCAAGCUGUUUUGUGCCAAUUGUGACUCUCAACGGAUCCAUAGCAGGAAAGUGAGGAAAGCUAGCAAUGUCAAGGACUGAGACGUUGCGAAUUUUACUCAUUCUACUUCUUGCUUCCAUGGCUAACUCAAUAGCGUUGUGGAAAAUAAUGUCUUUAUUUUCACUAACUUGAGCCCUAGCAGCAUCCAAUGAUGCUAAAAGAAGAUAACUAGGGCUACUACUUUGAAGCAUUUGAAGGCAUCUGCAUAUUCUAUCGCUGUCAAUAAGAUCUCCUGACCUGUGUAACAUUGACGACUGUGUCAGAGAGCACAAAACUUUGUGAGUAGACUGUACCACAAGAUCGGCGCCUUGACAGAGAGCUGAGUCGGGCAAUAGCUCAUGAAAUCCGAAGUGUGCACCAUGAGCCUCAUCAACAAUCAGAGGGAUCCCGUGAGAAUGGCAUAGCUUAGAUAUUUCAGCCACAUUGCUGCAAAUGCCAUGGUAAGUAGGAGAUACUAUAAGAACUGCACCGGCUCUUUGACCUUUCAUUUCCAGUUCCUCUAUUGCUUUUUCCACCUGCAACAACAAAUAUCUUGAGUUCUAAAAUGUUUACUUGCCAGAUAAAGCACCAUUACAUACCGCCACUUGAAAGUGCAUUAAUCAGAUUAUAGCACUAAAAAACUUCUCAUGUUUAAGAUAUUGUUCCUAGACACAAGAAUGGCACUUUGACAGGACAAAAUGGCACUAGAAUCACCAACUGAACAUUUUACACCAAACUUGCCUGUGAUGGAGUGAUGCCACCAGGAAUAUCCCAAUCGGCAUCAUAAUCAGGCAAGAUGUACUUUGGCUGUACACCGGACAAUAUCAUCCCAGAUAUGGCUGAAAUAUGACAGUUACGUGGAAGAAUGAUAUUGUCUCCAGGUGAACAAGUGGCCAUAAUAGCUGCAUGGAUUCCACAUGUACUACCCCCAACAAGGAACCAUGUCUCUGAUGCUCCAAAAAGUUCAGCUGCUUGUUUUUGUGCUUCUAAAAUGGGUCCUUCUGGAGUAAAGAGGUUGUCAAGCUCUGGGAGCUCAGGUAAAUCAUGAAGAUAUGGUUGUUUACCAAUGAGCUCGCUGAACGAUGAUGGUGCUGCUUGCCCUCUAUUAUGUCCCGGAAAGUGAAAACUAGCAGCAUUUUCGGCAGCUGAGGCUUUUAAAGCACCAACCAAGGGUGGAAGCCUGUAGUCUUGAAUUAUUUCAGAAACAUUAGUUGGAAUAUUAUGCAUUGAGACAGACCCUUUCAUUUCUCCCUGCCUCUUCGUGUCUUCCUUUCUUCCCAAAGCCAUGUGAUACUCAUCCUGUAAAAGAUUUUAGAAAAAAUCAGAAACUCGCAACUUGUAGAUAUUCAUCUCUAUUAAAUGAUUGAGCAGAAUAUAAAUAUCUAGCUUAGACUUGAAAAUUGGCCUUGACAGUAUACAAGAUUCCCAGCUGCUUCCUCAUGGUAAAGUUUCCAGCAAUUAAUACAUGCAACACUAAAGUGGAGUUAUCCUAAGAUGAAGAGGAUUUACACGCACAAUUACUAAACUUAGACAGAUGUGUAUAGUUAUUAUGUAUCUCUACAGGUAAACAGGUUCAUAUAAGGAACUUCUGACAAACGUAAACCGUCUGAAAUCGUCAAUUUGGUUGGCAUUAGAGAGAAAUGGUAACAGUAAAAUAUCAAGUAGUUGAACUAAGCCUAGAGAAGAAUUAAAUUGACUUCUUCUUAUCUAGGUCUCAUAUAAAAUGUGAAACUUGCUAGUAAUGACAACAUUCAAAGCAGAGACAACCAACAAUUAGAAAUUUUAUGCUUCAACAGGGAAGGGCUAGCAUAUUGCCCAUUGAAUGAUUAACUCAAACAUCCACCAACAGAGAUCUAACUUCCAUGCUUUAAAUUGAUGCUUAAUAACCCACUAAAAUCCAGUUUGCCAGUUAAAUAAACUACAUAUAUUCACUGAAGUGCAUCUUUUGCAUCAAGCAAUUAACUUUUGUAACAUAGAAUGGUUUCAAGUGGAAUCCUACAAAUCCAUUCUGGAACAGUUUUCUUGGUGUUCUGAGGCAUAUUGACACACUAAGAAGAGAAAUGCAGUUGAUGUUUCAUCUGCUAAAUGUUCUCCCUUAAUGCAAAAAUUUAAGCCACACUCAGAAUUGGGUUAAUAGAAGCUAAGAUACUGGCCUUUUUUUUUGGUGGGAAGAUAAAAACCCAAAAAUAACUAUUACAUGACAUCAACUGGACACUAUCAACACUCAAAAGCUCCUAAGCUAGCAACAAACUUGGACAAAUAUACAAGCCAUCUUGAAUGCAUCAAACCAGCCAACAUUUAUUUCAUCCCAAAAAUCGGAGCAAGUUCAUGUUAUCCUAUAAAACCGAAGAACCCAUAUUACUCACAUAGCACACGACCGUACUAUCCAAAGACAAAAAUCAAUUGAUUUUAAUCCAAUGUCUCGGACUGUGGUCGUGGCUGCUACUACUGAAAUUAUUUCCAGAUUCCAAUAUGUAAAAUUACAUUAUCUACUAAAGUUUAUGGAGAACAAAUCUUCUGCUGUCUAACAACACUCCAUUAGGGUCACCACCAUUCAUUCAACAUUAUCAAAACACAGAAUUACAUAUUCAUAAUAAGUCACCAAAACAUCACAACACAUCAAGCAAUUUCCACUCCAGUGUCCACCUUAAAUUACGUUAUUUAUGAAAAUCACGAUUUCACAUUGCAACAAAAUCAUUGAAUUCCAUCAUAUUCCUAUGCAAACAGAGUUAAAAAAGCAGAUAUAAUCAGACUUCACAAGACCAUUUCUCAUAAGAGUUUCUUGUUGAUGCAGAACAUAAGUAGAAUAAAGAGUUGUGCACAAUUUCAAACAGAAACAGACAAUUCUGAGAGAGAAAAAGAAAACCCACUUGCAGAAUACAAGCUUUUGGUCUCUCAUUAAGUUUGGAGCUCCACCCACUUCCAAAACUCGGACUAAAGCUCUGCCAAAGUGCCAGUUCUGUUAGCAAGAAAACAGUCUUACAAUACAAAGUCCUUCCUGGGAUUGAAUUGUUAGAGAUGUCAAAGCAUAUAAUUACAAGGACAACAUGCAAGUAACUGUGUGUGUGUGUUGAAGCGAGGGAAGGAGUCUUACCAAACGGAGGAGAGGCGAAACCAUUGCAGCUUCAGGGGUUCAAAUGCUGUGUCUCUUUGGCUUAUGGCUUUUUUAUAUCUUUAUAUUUUUUUUUUUUGGCUUUUUGGUCAGUUUUGGUUAUUUACGUAGAGCUAUAUGGUUUCAGAGCUUAUUUGGUUUUCCAAAUUGUUUUUUUGUUAUUUUUUUUUUGGGUAUUGAAGGUAAAAGAAUUACUAAGGAUAUGUUAUUAAAUUACCAAAAAUGACAUCAACCCAAUUUUUUGAUUGUUUUUAGUCAAAAGUUGCCUCUUUUUUUUUUUUUUUUUCAAAAUUUGGUUCUUGCUUCGGUUGAUACAGAAAAUAGUUUUAAUGGGAUCCAAGAUUUAGUCAAUAUUGUAUUCUUUUCUUUUCAAUUGAUCUUUUGGUGGAAGGAAACUUUGAAUCUUAAAAUAAAGGGAUAAUAUCAGAAAUCUCUCCUGAGAUUUCUCUCACUAUCAUUUAAUACUCCUAAGGUUUUAAAAAUAUCACUUACCUCCCUUACUUUUGUUCUUUGUGUAACAAAAUUUUUAAAAUCUCUAAACUACCCUUUUGCUUAUUUUACUAAAUAAAAGCACUCCUAAACUACUUUGUUUACUCCAAGAAAAAUCAUAACCAAAAAAAGAAUUUCUAACAGUACCACCACAUCAUAAAGUUAUAGUCCAUAAAAAUAUAAAUUAGGAAAACUAAAAAGAUAUUUGUAAAGAAAUACACUAGUACCGAUUUAACUCUAUUUGCUCGAAAUUGAUUUCUUAUGAACCACAUUUUUAUUCUCAACUUCUUCUCAAUUCGUAAUAUAAACCUUUAAAUUGUACUAAAUCAUUAUAAAAAUUUAUUCAAAAUAAAAAAAGAAAUCAUACCCUACUCUAUCAUAAUCAUAAAAAUAAAAGGUAAAUAAAAUUUAAUUUACUAAAUUUACAAAUAAAAAAUCACAUAGUCAUCCAAAAUGAAAUGAGUAGGAGAACAUGUUGAAGAAAGGGGAAAGAAAAGAAAGCGGAUUUCGUUUCCUUUUCUUUAAUUUUUUUGAGUUUCAUUUAUUUGAUAUAUGAAUUAUGUAUCCAGUGAAUAUUAAUAUAAUCAUUUUGUAAUUACAAGAGAAGGUAAGUGUUGUUCUUAAAAUCUCAAAAGCGCUAAAUAAUAUUAUGAGAAACCUUAGAAGAGGUUUCUAGUCUUAUCCCUAGAAGAAAAUUUACUACUGUACUAAUUUGUUUGUGUAGCUUUGGAUUUGGUUAGAGUUUUCGAAAAAAAGCAAGUGAAUUAAAGGUUUUUGUUUGUUCAUUUUCCUACUGUCUUAUUUCAUGUAGCUUCAGCAAGGUUGCAGUGCUGGAGUGGUGAAUUACUAAGGUCCCAACUGGUAGGCCGUAAGAUGGUGAUCUUUUAGGUUGAAAACAUGGGGAAGCCCAAUAUUGAUCCUGACACUCAAUAGUUUAAAAACUAAUAAGCCCAUGAAGGAUUAAUAGGAAGUGUUCUUCCAAACAACACUCUUUUCAUUUUUAUUGAAAGCGUGAUAUUUUCCUUUUUAAUCAAUUUUACAAUUAUAUUAUCAUCUUAUCAAAUUUUAGCAAAAGGCUAUUAUUUCAUUUCCAAGCUGCAUCCCUGGUUAUUAUUAAUUCUUUAUUGUGUAUAUGAAUUUUCAAAAUCUUAAAAUCAAGUAUUAGAUAAAGUGUGUCCAUUGCAUAUCGAAAUAUGAACUAUAAAAGUUGUAUUAGGUGUAUUUCACGAUCAAUGUUAAAUCCAAUCAUCCAUAUGGACGAUAAAUGAUUGUUAAUAUGUUAUACUUUCCUUCUCAGACAAGGCAAAACACAGAAUAUGCCAUUUCAGUGACUUUGUCUUGAUGCAGGCAAAGUUGGAAAGAAGCAAUAAAUCACAUUUACUUUUACUGCUGUACAUAAAAUGCACGGAUUAAACAUGAAAAAUAUUAUGGGGCGGAGGGAGUAUUACAAUUUGAUUUGUUCCUUCCAAAGAAUUUAGAGUCCUUAAACUUAAUUCAACUAAUCAGGCCUUAAACAUUAAUCAGGUGAUCAUGAAAUUCUUACGUAUUUAUCGUCUUUGAUUUUUUUCAAAAUUUAGUUUCCUUAUUUAACAUACUUUUCUACGACAAAAAUUAAUGUCGCCAUAAAAUCCCACUAACCAAAAUGUAUCAAAAACUUUUAUCUUCUUGGUCCUUGGAUUUUGAUUCUUUCUAUGGUUUUAUGCCACUUUGCAAUUAAGCUUCUUUUUUGUGACGAUUUAUACCUAAACAUAUAUAUAACCUGUUAAUUUUGUCCUAUUAGCAAUUAAGUAGAAGUUUAGGUAACAAAGUGGCAUUAAGAAAGAGUUUUUAAGUUGCAAACUGUGAAAGGUUCUUUAUUUGAGGUGCAAGAUGAUCACGUUAAUUCUUCUUAAUUUAAGAAACAUUUCCUAAUCUAAUUGAGCAGUUCUUUCACUUACGUAGUCCUGUAAAUAUCUAAAUCGUUCGAUUUAGUAAAUCAUUUUUUUGAAGGAAUUUUUUUUUGUAAAUCUUUGACCUGGAUUCUUUCUAGAAGAGAUAUUAGCUAAUAAGAUGAUUGAUUAGAUGUUGACUAAUCAUGAACCAGAAAUGUAAACAAGAACAAAACAAUUGCAGCAUACAACAGCAAAUCUAGGUUGUUCAAAAGAGGAAAAGUAUUAAAAGAACAAAAGUAAAGAAAUAAAAGACUUAAACUCGUUUUUCCAAACUAUUUUUGUUUUCUAAGCGAAAAAUUGUCAAGACUUUUAUUGGCAGUUUCAACUUCUUUUUCUUCCCAAUCUUUGCAUAUUAAUCUCACGUUAAAUAUCACUAAUGCCACUUUCAUAACUUUUCAAGUUUUAAUAAAUUAUGAAACGCAUAAGAAGAAAAAUGUUGCAUGAAAAGGGAUAAGUCCUAAUGAAUGUAUUAUUAACCAAGAAAUCGACAUUCAAUUUAAGAUUUACAUAUCUUCAAUUGUAUCUUACACAAAAUCAUUCCAAAACAAACAGAACUUAACCCAAAAACGCUCAAUAUCAUCUUCUUCAAUGUGCUUUAAAUUCCUAACCAUACCCUCCCAAUUUAGGCCAUAACCAAAGCCAAAGGUCCAAAACCUCCUCGUGCAGGUGCCUACGUACGUUUUCACUCUCAAGAAAAAUUAAAUUAAACCCUCAAAAAAAUGGCCAAAGAAUUCCACCCUCUUCUUCUCAUCAUCUUCCUCUCUUUCUUGAUUUCCUCUACACUUUUCGACGUCUCAUUGACGAUGGCCGCCGACGACUCCGACGAGGACUUUAGCCCUGCCGAUGCUUUCCGUGCACUAGACCCUAAUGACCCUUUGGUUGUCACGAUAGCAAAGUUUGCAGUGGAGGAAAAUAACAAGCAAAAGAAAGAAAAUAUCCAGUUUGCGACUGUUUUAAAAGCUGCAAGCCAACAAAUUGGAGCAAAAACUGAGUAUGGCCUCCUUAUUAAGGCAGAUGAAAAUGGUACUUCGAACACCUAUGUAGCAGUUGUCUUGGACGGCAAAAAUUCUGGGAGGGAGCUCGUUGGCUUUACAAAGCCAAACUUGGCAGUUUAGGUGAUAAGAUAAUUUAGCAACUGCCAGAGUUAAAUUUGUAUUAUGGAGGGUGACAUAAUGAUCAUAUAGGUGUGAUUGUUUGUUUUCUUUUUGUUAGUCAUCUAACAAGACAGGAGGUGGAUUGGAAAUGGAGUUCCGAUGCAUAUGUUUCUACCACUAUUAUCUAUGAGAAACCUAAUUUGUCUUUUCCAUUAGAAUAACUUGCAACAAAUCUAUGAAUAAAAUUUGCCUAAUUUGACUUUAUUUUGGGCUGAGUGGACGUUGUUUUUUGAUGAAUAUGUUUUGCAUUUACUCGGACAAAAAUCCUUUACAAAUGCAGUUAUUUAGAGAUGUUCUUUUCGCUUGUGUCGCAUUAAUUUUGACUUAGUUCGUCUCUCUUUCACUGAUACUGUGGAAGUAGUAUAAACAUAGAUCUUGGGAAAUAUUUGGAAUGACAUGCUUAGAAUUUGGAGUACUCUGUCUGGAAAAGCAUAAAAUAGAAUUAGGUCCGUAAUCUAAUCUCAACAAACUCAAUAUCAAAUAGUAAAACUUGAUUUGAGCUCUUAAUAAACUUGAAAUUUGUGCUUGAUUUUGGUUUAAUCACCUGCCAUCUCAAACUCAAAACAAACUUUUUUCUUAUGAACUAAAUUUUCGAGUCAGAUUUGCGUAAAUACGUAAAGCUCACGUUUUAUGUAGUAUAUGAAAAUGAGCUCGAUUGCUACAUUUGUUGAUGCUUUGUGUUCUAGUUGUAUAAACAAAUUCUGAAUUAACUUUUCUUCAAGAAACUCAGGCAUAAUUCUUUUUACAUCCAUAACCAAAACCACAGGAAACCGUCUUAUAGGAGUAAAUCAACUUCAAUGCCACUAAACUGUGUUACUUGAACGCCUCACCUUGACUGACCAUUUGUACCAGGCCUGGUGCGUUAUCCUUAUGAGUCACUAGCUACUAAAUCCAUUUGCUGCAUUAAAAUAGACUUUAGUCACUAUAGUACCACACUAUGUCUAUGGGUGUGUAUUUAUAAUAUUGCACCUUGCAAGUGAGUAACACACAACAUGAAUGGGGGCAUGUUAAUAAAAUUGCACCCAAAAAAUAGCAUAGGAGAUGAAAUGAGAUUUAUUGAUAACUCAAUUCAGCACAAAAAUUUAAUGGAAUCAGAUCUUAACAUAUUCAAAUCGUUUGAUAAUAAAAAAGUGAACAUUUGAAUUAAUUAAGUGGCAAUGAAUUUUCUAAGCAAAACUUGUUCCUAAAAUUAAGUGAUAAAUUCUUUACUUAUAAGCACUCAAAUAUAUUAGAUUUAAUACUUAACAAUUUAAUAACUUAAUGGAUUCAGAUUUCAGAUUUCAGACUUCAGACUUCAGUUUUAUCAAAUGCACUUAGUGAGGUGCCACACCUUUUUGGAAAUUUUUGGAAAUUAAUCAAGGAAAAAGAGCAGUUCGAUCCUCAUUAUUUGGCUUUAUGUCAAAUUGAUCCCUCACAUUUCGAGCAAAACGAAGGUUUAUGAGCUUAUUAGUCAUCAUAUUUGAUCGAUUUUAUCUUAACUCCAUUCUUUUUGUUAAUCGAUCAACGGCCAUCAUUUCAUUCUUUUCAUCAAUCAGUUUCCUUCUUGUAAUUUCUUUCUGAAGUUUGUUCAAGUCAUCAUCAUUUCCUCCUCAUCUAUUUCCAUCCUUUGUAUUGUCCUUUGGUUUGUCGUUCUAUUUUCAUCCUUUUUGUUAUAAUUAAUCAUCUAUUUGUUUUUCGUCAUUGCUGAAAUCAAUCUUGACUGCUAACCAACUUGCAUACCACCUGCUUCUAUUGCGAUUCAUCUUCUUCAGGUCAGCUGUUAAUUUUAAUUUCACUUCUUCUUUUUUUUCUUCCUCUUCUUCCCUUAUUAAGUCAUUCAAAAUUUCCGUCUCUAAUCCUUCAUUUGCAUAUUUCUCUCUGCUUUCUUUCCCUUUAUUUUUUUUUUGGGUUGAAUACAAAGCACUUUUGUGCUGGUAUGAUUUAGUCGCUUAUAUUUACAUGGACCAUUAGUAAUAUACUUGUGAUCGUUGAAGCUUCACUUGUUUUCUUCAGAUAGGUAUGCUGUUCUGGACUUCGAUUCUACCGUCUAGUCCUUUUUCAGGCCCUUACUCGAGGAAUGAAAGUUAUACCCUCAUUGAUCCUGCUGGUUAUCUCUUUCAUUCUAUUGCUGCCUUUCCUGCUUGUGCAUGAUCAACUUUUAAUGUACUAAACAUUUUCUUCUUCUGAUUAUGACUUUUGAGCAUGUUACAUGACAGAAAAAAGUCUGUUACAAGACGAUGGAUAAGAUCCAACACCUAAAAUGAUUUGCUUAUGACACAAUCACAUUACAAGUUGAUCUGCAAAUACCCCAUCCUCCAUACUAAUUAUCCUCUAAUACAUCAUGACAGACAAAAUCCUGAACCUUCUAAAUAAGGACAAUAUAAGCUACAAAAGAGGAAUGGAUGUUCUAAUGAGCAGGGUGCAAAGCUGCUGAACAGAUUGCUACAAAAAUGUUCAUCACGAUUAUAAUGAAAAUUUGCGUAGCCUUCAAUCU
This 53475-nucleotide long non-coding RNA is filed under the name Coffea arabica (coffee). RNAcentral's name for it is "long non-coding RNA (CARA_LNC004799)". Lineage: Eukaryota; Viridiplantae; Streptophyta; Magnoliopsida; Gentianales; Rubiaceae. The record is from RNAcentral.